RNAcentral lists this long non-coding RNA (54732 nucleotides) under Lotus japonicus. Its description in RNAcentral is "long non-coding RNA (LJAP_LNC001345)". Lineage: Eukaryota; Viridiplantae; Streptophyta; Magnoliopsida; Fabales; Fabaceae. The record is from RNAcentral.
CUUUGUUAUUUUUUAAAACAAUGUGAAUUUUAAGAUUUUAUUGUACAAAUUUUCUCCUAAUAUGUUGAAAAUAUAAUCAUUAAAUAUAUAUAUAUACUAACGUACCCGUACCCAUGAUUUUUUGAAAAAUGCCGCACCCGUACCCGUAUCUGGUACCGUACCCGUACUCGUGCAUCCUAGACGGAAUCCAUAACUUGAAACUAGCAAUUUUAUUGCCAUAACAGCAAUUUUAUUCCAUGUCUAUUCCUAUAGAACACAACAUUGUUUGAUAUAUUUAAAGCAAAAUGACAACGAAACUAAAGACGGUAAAAGAUGAUGCAAGGGUUCAAAGGGCUUUGAUGAUCUCCUCAGCACUGGAGACGGUGAACUCUCCUCCAUCUUCAACAUUUGCAACCUUCACCUUCAGGUCUUCCACCAGCAGAGCAAACCUCCUUGAGCGAGUGCCAAGACCUUUGUCAUUGAGGUCAAGCUCCAGCCCGAGAUCAUGGGUGUAUUUGGCAGAACCAUCAGCAAGGAACUUCACAUGCUUGUUCUCUGGGAAUGUUUUGGCCCAUGAACUCAUCACAAAAGGAUCAUUCACUACAAAAUCAAAAGCAAUCACUUAUUAGCCACACUAAGAGAGACUUUGAUUACAAGCAUCAUAAAAGGUUAUCUAAGUGCAUGUUUGAAAACUAGUUCCAAAACAUCAAUGAAGCCAAAAUCAGGGUGCCAAAAUCAGGGUGCCGUAGUUUUCAAGAGUUUCCAAACAUGAAGUACUCCAAAGUUCAUUGAAUCCAUAUGACCAUAUCGCCAGAUAGCAAGACAAGGAAUAAAAACAAAAACUAUGAUGUGUUCCAUCUUAAUUGUAAAUUAAACAACUACAUCUACCCCUGUGUCACUGUGUGACCAAAUAAAAAUUGAAUAAUCAACUAACAAUGAAUGUAUGAGAGAUUUGUUAGGGGUUUGGAUCAAUGAAUGUAGACAGAAAACUGGUUAUUAUGCAUAACAACAGAAAAAUAAUAAAUCAACUGACAAACUGAUAUAAAAACUGAUUCCUCAAAUCAAGUCAUCUCAAAUACAUGCAAAUUCAAAUUAAAAUGUAGCCUUAAUCUUUAGGAAUAACAAACAUUAUCCUAAUUUGAAACAAAUGCAUCAAAAUCUUAAAAGAACAAAAAAAAAAACAAAAUCUUAAAAACAAUAUACUCUUAAUUGCAGCCAUUAUAGGCACAAUAACAACAAAGUUGAUCAAGAGUUUUCAUAAUUCAGUUCAGUUCAAUUUUGAAUCUCACAUGAAAGUUUCAAAAGUUAGCAAUCAUAUACAUGAACAUAUGAAUUUUGACAAUCAUCAAUUAACAAACAAGGAGGGCAAAAUUAUGAUAUGACUAAACCCUUACCACUGAUGCAGAUCAAUUCAUCAACACCCUUUGAUUUCAGCUCUUCUGCCCUUUCAAUGAAGCCAGGCACAUGCUUCAGGCUGUUCAAAAAAAAAACACUUGUAACAAAUUAAACAACAAACUAGCCCCAAUUUAAGACAAAUCCACCAUGAUCCUCAAUUUCAAUCUAAUUAUUCAAAAGGGGUUUGUUUUACUCCAUAAUCCACACACAGAAUGUAAUUUCUUUUUCAUAAAAAUCAAAACUUUGGCAAAAUGAGGGUUAAUCUCAGAUACCCAGAAGCAGUUUUCCGAUUCUUAAUUGAUUUAUCAUCAAUUGGUAUCAAAAUUGAAAGGUGAAAGCAAAAAUAGAGAAAAGGGUAUAUACCUGCAUGUGGGAGUGAAGGCACCGGGAACACCGAAGAUGAUGACCUUUUUGCCGGCAGCGAGAGAGUGAAUGGAGACAGUUUGGGGGGUGUUUUGGUCAUCCAGGUAAGCCAAGAUGCCAUCGGGAAUCGAAGCACCAACAUUGAUCGGAGCCAUUGAUGAUAACGAAGGUUGUUGAUAGAUGAUGAAACUGGGUUUGAGAAAUGAGACAAGUGUGUUUCUACUCCUAACCUGAUCCCUUCUUUAUAUAAUAGUAGACUAGGGGUAUAAUUGUCAUUUUAAGGUGUUAUAUAUUUGUUAACUUUUUAAGGAUAACAGAAUAAAUUUCAAAAAUAAAGAUUACCAGAAUAGGAUUUUCAAAAAGAGGAUAAUACUAUUGUUUUGUUGGUUUAGAGGAGUAUCAUGCUGGUUUGGCGGGUAUCCUUUCCUCCAAUUUGGAGAUUUCUUAGUAAAGAAAGUUCAUAUUUCUGUAAAAAAAAAAACAGAAUUUGAUAUUUUCAUUAAUAAUAAUAUUAUUUAUUUAUUUAUUUAUUAAUAAUAUUUUUAAAUUAUCAAUAUGUAAAAGUAAAAUUGAAUUGACCUAUAAAUUAGUAACAAUGUUUUUUUGAACUAAUUAGUAACAAUAUUAAUUAGUUGUUAAAUAAUAUUUUCUGCUAUUCAAUGUUUUUUUUUAUCAAUGUUAUUCAUUGUUUUUUUGUUAUAUGAAUUGAUGAUUCAUGAUUGUCACAAAAAAAAUAGUUUCCCAUAUUUAAAAAUUCUUAUCAUUAUUUAAAUUUCAAUUAUUAAUGACAACAAAUGGACUUGAACAAAUAUUAAAUAAAUAAAAUUGACUUGACCUUCACAUUAAUUUUUUUUUGAAGUCUUCAUUGAUAAUUUUAUUAAUUAGUUAUGAAUAACUUUUUAUACUAUUUAUCAUAUUAAUUACUAAUUGUAAAACUUUUCAAAUAUCUCAUUAUGAAUGAUAACUUGAGUACAAAAGUUUAAAAUAAUAAUAUCUUUCGACAGAAAAUAAUAUAUUAAUAAUAAGUAAAAUCAAAAUUGACUUGAUCUAAAAAAAAUUAACUUGAUCUCCACAUUAAUUACAAUAUUAGUGUCUUUUUUAAGAGGAGGAUGUAUUAACUCCAAGAAUCAAUUAAAAAACCUACUCCAAAUCUUAACCGUUUGAUUAUAUUAAAAUAUAAAGACUAAGAUUAAAAGAUAACGAUCCCUCACGUGUCCCUUCCUUGCCUUGCCCUACCACCUAAAAACAAGCCGCAAACCACCCAUUGAACUAACUUUUGUGUUCCGGGAUACAAAUUCCGGAAGCUUCCAGGUUCUAAUUCUCGAAACUUAAAUUUAACCUUUAAUUUCUUUGUGUUCCCGAAAGUGGAGGAUAUUAUGAGAUUUCAUGGGUUGGUUUUAUCAUUGGGCUUUACCCAUGGGUUUGUUGGCCCAAACUUGAUAGUUCUUACUUCUUAACCUAAGUUGUUUUCUCCAACACUACUAGUUUCUUUCUUCUCUGCAAGUUAAAUCAGAAGAAGAAGAUGGCGUUGACGGAGGAGGACAUAACGAAACUCCACCGUAUCCGCAAGACGGUGAUGCAGAUGCUCCGCGACCGCAACUACCUCGUCGGCGACUUCGAGAUCAACAUGUCCCGUCACGAGUUCAAAACCAAGUACGGCGACAACAUNAUCAACAAAACCAAGAAAGACGGUCCCUCCGACCAGAUCUACGUCUUCUUCCCCGACGAACCCAAAGUCGGCGUCAAGACAAUGAAAACCUACACCAACCGCAUGAACAGCGAGAAUGUCUUCAGGGCUAUUCUUGUUUGUCAAUCGAACCUAACCCCGUUUGCGAAAACAUGUAUCUCUGAAAUGUCUUCUAAGUUUCAAUUGGAAGUGUUUCAGGUACGAAUUCAUCACCCUUGUUUUGUUUGUUGAUUUGUGAUGGUUGUUGUUGUUGAUGGUGAAUGAUGGUGAGUGUUGGUUGCAGGAGGCGGAGCUGUUGGUUAAUAUCAAGGAGCAUGUGCUUGUGCCGGAGCAUCAGAUUCUUAAUGAGACUGAGAAGAAAACUUUGCUUGAGAGAUAUACAGUCAAGGAAACUCAGGUCUGUAAUCUCUUCAAUUUAGCGGCGAAUAGCGGGCUAUAGUGGGCAAUAGCGGGGUCGCAAUUAGCUAAUAAUCCGCUACGCUAUAGCCGCUAUUUGAUAACACUGAUUAGGGGAGGAAUGAAGUGUAGUCCAGUUUUGUGAUGGGGGGUUUUCAGCUUUUUACUGGCACACAUUAUAUGAUUAAGGCUCAGUUUGGUUUAGGUUGUAGGUUCUCUAGGUUGAAGGAGUUUUUCAAUGGAGAUAUCUAUUUAGUUCCUGUUUAAGGAGAAAGACCUUGAAUGUUUAUUAGUGCUUAUGGAGAAUUUAGCUCAGAAGUUGAUUGGUGGGUUUUCAGCUUUUACUGACACACAUCAUAUGACUAGGGCUCAGUUUGGAUUAGGUUUUAGCUUGAGGGAGCAUUUAAGGAAAAAGACCUUGAAUGUUUAUAAGUGCUUAUGGAGAACUUAGCUCAGAAGUUGAUUGUUGAGAAGUUUAUCAAAAUUAUAAGAGAAGCUAAUAUUUAAAAGACUUAAAGACUUGAGUUAAUACAUGAAAAUUUACACUUGCUUUUCCUGUAAGUGAUUGUUGAGAAGUUUAUCUAAAUUGACUUGUGAAUUGUGGCUUCCCUCAGUAAUACGCACAUGCUUCAAGUAUAGGGGGAGGGGGGAGAGGGCGAGGUGUUUGGUAAAUUUUCAUUUUUUUAAAUUUUUUAUUGUUUAGGUGCUGUCAUAGAUUCUUACAUGUACUUUGAUCUUGUUGUAAACUUGUACUAGGAAAAUGCAGAGAUUAAUCUGACUACAGUGUUUGUCCGAGUUUAAGAAUGAUUGUUCGUAGUUUAUGUUUGGGAAACACACCUAGCUAAAAUCACAGAAGACCAAUAAUUGUGUAAAUUGUCAGCUACUUCCAAUAGAUUUAGUAAAAAUACGCUGUUCUAAUUCUUUGAAACACUGAAUCAAACAUAGGCAUAGUAAUUAUAAACACACUUGUUGGGGGUAAAUGUGUCGUGGCAAUUAAUAGUGCUUAUUCUAUUGACUUGUAUCUGUAGGAGCAACCAGUAGCAGCUUCUGCGAAGUUCAUCUGGAUUCUCAUCCAAGUUUUGAUUUGGUUUAACUAAUAUAUAGGAAAAGUAAAAUGAGUGUUGGUGUUUUUCAUGAAAAUGAAUCUUCUCCCCUGCUUAUUUUCUCUGACGAACAAUGAUCAGAUCUGUGAUCAUUGCUAUUUAGUUGUCCUUCGAGCUUUUGAAUCUAGUUAGAUUGGAAUGGCUUUCUGCUGAAGAAGUAACUGUUACUGUUAGUGUUUAAGUGUUAACUCCUCCGUUCUUUAUCUAAUAGCUGUAGAUACUCUGGAUCUAAUUUAUGCACUUGUCUUGUGUGCAUGUUGCCUCAUGUUACAAUUCUAGUUUUCUACUACAAAAUGCUGCAGAUUCUGACAUCCCUAAUAUUUAUGACUGCUUCUCAGCUACCUAGAAUCCAGAUAACGGACCCUGUUGCUAGAUAUUAUGGACUGAAGCGGGGACAGGUCGUCAAGAUAAUCCGGCCAAGUGAGACUGCAGGCAGAUAUAUUACAUACAGAUUUGUUGUAUAAGAAUUUCCUUGAACUGACUGGCUGUACAACUUUUUCAAUAUGUUACCUACUCAUUUAUAAGAAGCAUGGACAAGGGAUAUUUAGGCUAUUUUGUAAUGGUUGAGCAUACGACUUGAAAUAUGUUAUCAUGGUUGGUAAUGUUAGUCUCUUAUGUGAAACUUCAUUGCCAUAAAUUAUUCACCAAUGAACUCUUUUGGUAAGUUGGUAUUCUUUUCUUUUUGGAUUUUGUUUUGUUUAGUGAUUAAAAGUCUCGGGAGAGGGAAUGGGAGGGUCACUUAUUUCUUCAUUGCUGGGCAUUGGGUUGCUUGCUUUACUAUACAAAUUAGUGGCUUCUUAGUGCUUCCUAGUGGUUAAUUUAUGUACUUUAGUUAAUUUGUUUAGUUGUAAAGAAUUCUCCAUUUGUAAAGAACCCUCUUCUCAUAAUUCCUUUAUUCUGGAUUUCAUGUUAUUAUGAAUGUAAAUUAGCAGGGAGUAGAACAGUUAUAUUCACUUGACUUCAAUCUUCAAGUACUUGUAUAGGAAGUGAAAAUGGAUACUCUUUUAUUUUAUGCCCCUUCCUACACUUCAUAAGAAUGGCUACUUAUUUGUACGGUGUAAUAUUGACUUGUUCCCUGUGUGGAUUUGUAUGUUAUUUUCCCCUCACAGUGUCAGCUUCAGUUCAAAAGAAUAGCAACUAUAAUGCAAUAUCAGAUUUUAGUAGUUUUGAUUUUCUCUGGUAUCCAUGAGAAAGUUAGCAUGUCUGGAUUAGUUUGGUGCGGAAGGUAUGCAACACAUUCCAUAUUAGAAUGAUGUAAAAUAAAAAGCAAUAUGAAAUUGAAAUGGUUUUAAAUUAUUAUUAUUUGUUUGGCAAAAGAAAAAGAUUAUAAUGGUUUUCACAGUACUCUAGCCUCCAAUUCAUCAAAUUUGAUCUUCAAAAAAUCUUUAAGCUCUGUUGUCACUAAAUACUUUGGCACUGACUCCUUCCUUUACUGUAACCACAAUAGGCACAAUAUUUGACACAACUACCCAAUUCAACAUUCUGUAAAGAACAAAUAAAAAACAGAAGCAUAAGAUAUUUACAUUUUUUAAGUUUUUAAUUUCAUUUAAGACAUCAAUUCUUGUGAGAUGGUGAAGUGAGUCUUCACUUACCUUUUAACUUUUUUGCUAAUCAAAGCAAGUCUUGUCAACUGGAACCCAGAAAGCAUACUGCCAAACUUGAGGAGUUCCACUCACGGAAAAAUUCAUGUGGUUGAUACUCGACAUUUUUCAGAAGAUUUUCCACUGACUCGGAAUGUUAUUUGUAAAUGUUUGUAAUUGACAAACUUAAGAUAAUAUAGGAAUAAAAAAAAUGUUACAACUCAUUUUGUUCACUCCAUCGUCCAAUCAUCGUUCAAUAUCAAAACAAUCGAAAGAGAUUUUUAUUUCGUUCCAUCCCUUUCAGUUUAAUUCCUUUCUUUUUCACUUAGUUACAUUUUUUAUUAUCCUUGUUUCAGUUGUUUGGAAUCUCAUUUAUCUUUGAACUAGUUCAAUAUUAAAUAUUUAAACUUUUUUUCCAGCGAGCUAGAGCUUAGCAUAUUAGAAAUUCGUAACAACUUUUGUUGUGCUUUUAUUCAUAAGUAUCAUGAGUACAUAACCAUAGGAGCUAUGGAUUUGUAGCUCAUUAUUUCCCCUCUCUGGUCCCUCUCACUGCAGUUUCACUUGCUUAACUUUGAGCAAGACAAAGCUAAGACCUUAUAAUAGGGAGAUGAAUUUGAUAAGAACAUCGACUGCGUUUUGUGAUGCUAAUGAGGCAAACACAUCUGCUUCAUUGGACAAUGCAGAACCCCCACCAGCCAAAUCAGACAGUGAUCUAAACGCAAUGAAGGGUGUUUUCUGUUGGAGACAGACUAAAGCGACAGCAGCACUUUCCAUGUCAAUUGGGGUGACAUCAAAUUUGGAGUUCAAAAACUCUCUAUAAGCUCUGUUGUCAACGAACACAUUGGCACUCACCCCUCUAUGUACUCUCACAACAAUAGGCUUUCUUGGCAAGCAGGUUGUGUUCACACAACCACCCAAUUCAACAUUCUGUAGAGAACAAGUAACAUAAUGAGCCAAUCACAUAAUUUUUUGGUUUAAUUUUUUUUGUCUCUCUACUUAGAUUGAAUAAUUCCUCCAAUUCUUUUUUUUUUUACUUUGGUCUUCAACACUAAUGAAAUAUACGGAGUUAGUAUCUGCUGUUUAUUUUAUGACAAUCUUUGCGCAUUAGUGAGAGUUUAAGCCACCAUAAAAUGCACAUUUCAGGAACUAACUUCCGUUAUUUUAUUAAUGCUAGAGACUAUAAGGUAUGGAUUUUUUUUGGAGGGACUAAAUUCAAUCCACCUCUAUUUUAGGAAGACCAAAAACUUAUUUAAUCCUAUAAUUAUUUUUUUUAUUUCCUUUAAGAUAUCAAUCAUGACGAAGUGUUGAAUAACAUGUUUGAAUUAACUUAUCUUUCAUCAAAAUCAAUUCUUUUCCUCAAAAUCUAUACUUAUUGUGUAAAAAUUAAUUUUGUUUUCAGAAUCAAUUGUAAAAGGAUUUUUAAAUAUGAAGGAAAUAAAGUGGGGGUUGAGGUUAACUACCUUGAGCUUUUUUGCAAUUUUAAAGUAAGUCUUGUCAACUGGAACCCAGAAAGCAUGCUGUCUAACUUCAGGAGUUCCAUACACUGGGAAAAUUUCCUCUGCUUCAUACCAGACAUUGUUCAGAAGAUUCUCCACAUGUUUUGUGUGGUUAUUGUAGUCGGAAAAUUUCAGAUAACCAAUUUUUCUGUUGUAAUCUCCGUUGGCUUCUAACGGCAAUUCAUCUUCAGGGCCAUCUCCAAGCCUCUGCAUAAUUUAAUCAGAAAAUUAAUGGCUUAAUACAUCAGAAGACCCCUGUAAUUGUAAAGGGGAUCAAAUCUAGGGCCUAGAAAAAUUUUGCAUCAAAUUGGGUCCCUAGGAAAUUUUUUUUAAUUCAAUUAAGGCCAAAGUGUGUCAGCCUUCAAUUUUAUCAUAGUCAUCAAUUCCACGUGGCUUUUAUAAAUUUUUUUAAUUAAAAAAAUUAUAAAAAAUUAAUUUUUAUUUCCAACUCAAUUAUUUAAUCAGAAAUUGUUUUUUAAUUACUCAAUCCCAAAUUAAACCCAAUCCCAAUUUUCCCCCAAAUUAAAACAUUUUCACCCCCAAAUUAAACCCAAUCCCAAUCUUCCCUCAAAUUGAACCCUAACUGAGGAGAGAACAAGAAAAUUCAUUCUUCUUCUUCUUCCCCACUCCCACCCACCCAACAAACCCAGAAGCUUCAAUGCUGCACCUACUUGAUUUGUUCAAGCCUUAUGGAACCAUUAUAUCGGUUGAGGUUCUUGCCUUCUUUCCAUUUGUUUCAUGUGUUGAAUUGUUUUUUGAUUUUUCUUGUUCAUGUUAUGGGUCUUCACCUCAUGUCUUCACCAUUUUUAUAAUUUUUUAAUUAAAAAAAAAUUAAAAAAGACACUUGGAAUUGAUGACUAGGACAAAAUUGAAGUGUGGCACACUUUGGCCUUAAUUGAAUUAAAAAAAAUUUAUUAGGGACCCAAUUUGAUGUAAAAAUUUUCCAGGUCCUGAAACUGAUUCCCUUUACAAUUUCAGGGGCCUUCUGAUGUAUUAAGCCAAAAUUAAUUAGUCAAAUCAAGUUACUAUUUUAUUUAUGUUUGGUUGAUUCACGCUGCUUUCAUAUUUUGUUUUUGUUUAAUCUUCCGGUAAGAAAUGAAUGGUCACACUGGCACUCUAACCAUUGGAUGCUAGAUUGCUGAGCAUUCAAAUGGGACUAAUGGUAUUAAACAAAGUUUUUUUUUAAAUAAAAAAAUAAAUUGAUGUAAAUAUGUAAGAAUAGGUCUAUGUUUUUUUUGAACAUGAAUAGGUCUAGGUUGAAGGUGCCUUAAGGUGAACCUAGUAUCACUAUGUUUAAUUUUUUUUUUUUUUUUUGAAAAGCACUAUGUUUAAUUCUUGUUUUCUAGUCACAGUUUUUUAAUUAGAAAAUAUUUAUUCAAACAGUUUUUCUUCUUAUAUUUUAAAAAACAGUUUUUAAAUACAGAAAAAUAAAACUACAAUCAAACAAGCAUAUAAUGGGUGAAAUGAAAAAGAAUAGGGGUAAGAAGGUCUAUCUUAUCCUACGAUAUUUUUAUAUACUAAUAAAUACCUAUGUUUAAACAUGUCAAUAGUGAAAUGAACUAAAAUAUACUUACAAAAAUAUACAUAUAAAUACACUAAUAAGAUUAAUAUUGAUUAAUUGUUCAAAAACAAAGAUUAAUAUUGAUUAAUAUAUAUAAAUGUGGUUGGCUUUCGAAGACUUGAAAGUUUAUUGAGAAUUCUAAAGGUAUUUUAGUGAGUCAUAAGUUUAUUUCUGAUUAAAGUUAUAAUUAAUCAACAUGUUGAAAUAUGUAAAUAAGUCAAUAAUGUAUAAUUUCAAGAUGAAUUUCAAAAAAAUAUAUUUCAAGAUGAUAUAAUAAAAAAAUAAGAAUAUGAAUUUAUAUAAAUUAUAUUUAUUUAAAGACACCGACUUAUUGAGCUUAACUUUUUUUCAAAAAGUUUGAAUCGACUUUUUUUUUAAUUAAAUAGACUUUAAAAAAUUAUUAAAUCUAUUUAUUCAUUAAUAUGAUCUUAUUUGAUUUGAGUCUGAUGUAGACUAAGUCUUAGGUCUUUGCAAAUAUCGGAUAUAUUUCUAUCCUAAAAAAAGAAGAUCAUAGCUAGAAACAAAGCAGAGAGGUAUACCUGCCAAACCCAAAGUCCUGUGUGAGCCCAAUACUGGGGUAUAGUCACAUCUCCAACCUGGAGUUUAGGAUUUGCGUUUCCUGCAACUCCAUAGUGGGCAACUCCUUCCACAUGGAACAAAGAAAGCAACAAUUGGGUGGAAAGAGCUGCAUUUGUCUACACAAAAAGUAUAUAUCCAAAAGAUCAAUGAGAAAGGAAUGCAAAAAUAAUCACAAAGUAUAAUUAACUAAGGUGAGAACAAAUUCUCAUCUCAUGUACCAUGCUCAAUCCGGUCAUAACAACUAUAACCUUUUUCUUUUCCAAUUCACCAAUGCGAAAACGUCUUCCUGCAUUGCAAAUUUUAAUCACCACAUAUGCAAAGAAAGAGUAGUUAAGAAAUUACACAUCUUCUUUAGAAGUAUAUAUAAUCAUAUAAUAAUUGAACAGCACGUUGUUGUAGAAGUUACCAGCAAAAUCAACAUAAGGAAACUUUUUAUUGAUCACAAAGCUAGGUGAUUGAAGAAGAGGGUUUAUCUCAAAUGCAUUUGGCACCACUAUCCCAAUAUAUGGACCAUGGCUAUUAAUAUUGCUUAUUUCUCUCCAAGAAAGUUGAGAAAUUUCACCAUAGGCCUUGAUGCUACCACCCAAUAAUACCAUGAUCACAAGAAAACUCAUGAGCAACUCCAUCCUGCUCCUCCAAUUGCUGUGUGUAUCAAGUUCUGAAAGAUCAACGACCAUUUAUGACACGUCAUUAAAGAAUGGUCAAAUACGCCAUACGUAGAAAAUUAUCAUGUGUCUUUGUCCAAGAAAUAACGAAACAAAGGAUAAAAUAGGAGUGGCUCUUAGUUGCUGUAUAUAAAAAUAUAGAGUAAUGAUAUGUACACACCUCAUUUUCUAAACACUUCAUUUCCACCUAUUUUUAUUUCUAUCUCUCUCCUCUUAUCAUCUAUCACAUCUCAUACUUUCUCUCUCUUACUUUUUCUUUUUUUCCUAUAAAAAUAUAUAUAUUCGAAAAUGAUUAUUAUUCACAACAAAACUCACGAACAAAAUCCUGACCGUGAGAUCACAGCUGCCGUACGUAGUUGAAUGAUAUGCAGUCUUACAUGGGUAAAUAAGAGAUCAAGUAGGCCAAUUGGGCUGAUAAACAUGUUGAUUGACAUCUUGAGGACGAUGUCUUUGGUGGAGCAGUGUAGUUAGUGACACACGGUGGUUCAGUUGCAUUUUCUAAUGAUAAGACAAAAAUGUCCUUCAUUUCACAAUUUUUUUUCCAUCUUUCUCCCUCUAUCAUUUGGCCACUUCUCCUCCGCUCUGUUCUCCCUGUGGUCAUUCUACCUCUCUCUUCAUAUUCUUAAUCAUUCAAAGCCAAGAUCUGAUCAUCCAAUUUCCCUUCUUUACAGGUAGUCCCAUGCUUGCUUCAUUACAUACUUACAAUUGCAACCAAACAAUUCUUUCUACCUGUUAAAAAUAUGAGCUUUCUAAUUCAAAUCAACUAAAACUAGGUAUAAAUCUCCAGCAAUGCAAGUAACUAGCACAACCAUCCAAAUUAUUAAGUCAACAAUAACAACACACAAUGUCCAAAUCCAUAUACUUUUCACAUGUCCUGCUUUCAGAGUUGCAUCAUACUGGACAAUUGAGAUAAUUCAUUAGAGGAAGAAAAUGAUAAUGAAAGAAUACAGCAAUCAGAGAGAGAAGGUAAGGGGAAAAAUGACCUAACUCAAGCGAGAGGCCAGCGAGACCAGAAGAAAGGUGAGCAUAUCCAUCAAAUAGAUAGUAAGAUUUAGCCUCAUAAGAUUUACUAGCUGUAGAGUUUCUACUACUUUCCCCGAAAUUUUGAUUAGGGUUCAAUUUAAACAGGGUUGUCUAAAUGACCCAAGAUAAAAAUUGGAUUAAAUCACCAUUGAUGAAGUGUUCCAAUAAUAUUGUAACAUGUGUCUUCAUGAAUUUCAACGACGACGUCUUCGGUGGGUUACUUUAAAAGUGACUCACCGUGGUACACUUUAAUUUUAAUAGUCAAUGACAAUAAUGCCCAUGAAUAUUUUUCAUCUUCCAAAUUUUUUUUUUGAAUCACAAGUUGGCCGGAAUCCAUGGAGGAAGUAAACGUGCAUCAUCACCGGCAGCCCUCCACCGCCUCUCAUCUGCUGGAAAAAUCACCAGAUUUGUGAGUUUGGAUCUUUUAGCUCUUUUCUUACAUUUUCCUUUUUGUUGAUUUGGGAGAGAGAGAGUGAGAGGUAUCACGAAACUCAGCCACCAUGUAGAUCUGCAUCACAGAGGGUUGCUGGGUCACCGGAAAAUUGAUCGGAGGCGCUUGCUUGAGUCACCGUCAGAGAUGACAACGUCCACCGGAGCUCUUGGUGGUGCUGCUAGUUUUGGAACUGGAACGAAGACUGUAGAGAAAAGGAUAAUAUUGGAAUGCAAGUUUAAAAUUAUUUAAAAAUAUCUAAAUCUAAACCGUUGAUUUAUUUAUUAUUAUAUCUAAAGGUAUAUAUUCAACUGCACCACCGUGUGCCAGUUUUUAAGUGUACCACCGAAGCCAACACCAAUUUCAACUCAUUUCAUUGUUCUUUUUAAUUUUAAUUUUUAUAAUACUCACUUUAUUAAAUGGUUAAAUAUGUUUUUAGUCCACGAACUUUUACCGAAAUUUAAUUUUCAUUUCUCGGCCGAUAUAAAUUUCGAAAAGCAUCCUCACGAUUAGAAAAAUAGAUGAUUUUGGUCUUGACCCACUUGCUAUUUGUCACCGUGAGGGAUUAAAAUCAUUUUUUUGUUUCCAAUGAGACAAACAAUUUUUUUUAAUAAAAUAUUGUUAUCCCUUAAUUACCUCAUCUUCAUCAAACCUCAUCACACAAAACCCAAUAAAUUUUCACAUCUUUUUCUUCUUCCUCUUACUCGAUCGAUCCACUCCAAUCUCAUUUACCUCCGCUCAAUCUCUUCUUCUUCUUUUUUUUCCUCUCUCCUACCACUCAACAUAAAAAAAAAUAUCCCAUCACCAAAUCAGAAAAGAAAACCCCAAAAAAAACCAACCCAGAAUUAAAAUAGAUUAUUAAACCACAUUUAAUUUAUUCAUCAAAACCCCAGCCAACAGAUAUAACACAAUGAUUGUUACAUAAACUCAUUCCAAGAGUAUUCAUCAGAUGUGCUACAACGAUUGUUACAGUGGAAGAUGGAAUUAGACUAGGACCAAUGUUUUCCAAAUGAACAAAACAUACAUUUUUUUUUCACAGUGUUCCGAUAUGAACAUAGUAAAUAGUGCGUUAUCUGUGAUCAAUCUCCAUGGUAUGAAUGCACUUUGUUGCAUGAAGAAGAAAAGAAGAGGGAAGAAAGGUUAUAUGGCUCUCAAAUUAGAUAUGACAAAGGCAUAUGAUCGUAUUGAAUGGACUUUCUUGGAGAGUGUUAUGUCAACCAUGGGUUUCCCUCAAAGGCUCAUUGAACUUAUUAUCAAAUGUGUCACCUCGGUUUCUUAUGGAAUCUUGGUGAAUGGGGAGCCUACCUCUUUCUUCUCACCUCACAGGGGGCUCCGUCAAGGAGAUCCCUUGUCUCCUUACUUAUUCAUUCUUUGUGUGGAAGCUUUUUCAGGUUUGAUCCUAGAGGAAAACCAAAGAAAGAAGUUGCACGGAGUACAAGUUGCAAGAGGAGCACCACAAAUCAGCUAUCUUUUCUUCGCAGAUGAUAGCCUCAUUUUUACCCGUGCAACAGUGGAGGAGGCAAACUGCCUACUUGAUGUGAUCAAGAUGUGUGAGCAAGCUUCAGGUCAACUUGUCAAUAUGGAGAAGUCCGAGAUCUCUUUCAGCCAAAAUGUUCCAGAAACCAGUAUGGUGAUGAUCCGUAAUAGGAUAGGAGUAACGGCGGUGGACACUCAUGACAAGUACUUGGGAUUGCCAACCAUCAUUGGGAGAUCAAAGAAGCAGACUUUUGCCAAGGUUCAAGAACGAGUGUGGAGGAAGCUCCAAGGGUGGAAGGAGAAAGCUUUGUCACGAGCCGGAAAAGAAGUGCUACUCAAAUCGGUUGCACAAGCAAUACCCAACUAUGUGAUGAGCUGUUUCAAGCUCCCCAGCGCCACUUGCAACAAGAUUGAGAGUUACAUGGCUAACUUUUGGUGGGGACAAAGAGAAAAUGAGAGAAAGUUGCAUUGGACUAGCUGGAACCAACUGUGCAAACCGAAGGACAAAGGAGGGAUGGGGUUCAGAAAGCUAGAAGAUUUCAAUCGUGCUCUACUAGCAAAACAAGUCUGGAGAUUGCUCAAGAAUGAAAGCUCCCUACUUUUCAAGAUUUGGAAAGCCAAAUACUUCCCUAAGUGCUCACUGCUAGAGGCCACGGUGGGUCACCAACCCAGCUUUGCAUGGAGAAGUGUGUGGAACUCGAUAGAAGUGGUAAAGAGUGGCAUGGGAUGGAGAGUAGGGGAUGCAGAAACAUUAAGGUAUGGGAAGACAAAUGGCUGCCAGGAGAAGGAAAUGGAAUGAUAAUCACUCCAUUGGACACGCGUGCACAGGUUGUUGCAGAUUUGAUACUGCCAGAAACUAACAGAUGGAAUGUGCACCUAAUCAAUCGGAUUUUUGAUCCGACAGAGGCAAAUGCAAUAAGAGCUAUCCCAUUAAGUUGGAGACAUACUAAGGAUUAUAUUUACUGGGCGUGGAGUAGAGAUGGGUAUUUUUCUGUACGCUCAGCUUACUAUCAUCUCCAACAAGAUAGACUAAACAAUGAACCAAGUAGCUCAACACAAAGCUUCCCUUGGAAAAAAGUAUGGUCCAUGCCAACGCCACAGAAAACAAAGCAUUUCAUGUACAGGGCAGUUCACAACGUACUACCUUGCAGAGAAAAUCUAAUGAAACGAGGCAUACAAGUCCAAGAAGAAUGUACUUUAUGUGGGGAGCAAACUGCAGAAAAUUUGAAACACCUUUUCCUCAGCUGCUCCUGGUCUCGUGUGGCUUGGUUUUCACAUCCAAUGGGGUUACGUUCGGAUGCAAUGGAAGUAGACUUUGCUGGCUGGAUUUUGUCCUGCUUCUCAAACUAUAAACCAGAAGAUUUGGCAAGUCUGACCCAAGGUUUAUGGACGAUCUGGAAAGCGCGAAAUGACAAGCUCUUUAAUGGGAAAUCACAAGAUUCUGCAGUUGCCAUCCAAAAUACACUGAAAUAUUGGACAGAAUGGCUGGAAGCACAUGACACACCGCACCAAGGAGAGGAGCAGAAUGUAGCCAAAGUGUGGACACCUCCAUCGAUGAACCACCUGAAGAUCAAUAUAGAUGCAGGAUGGACGGGUGCUAUGAGCACAGGAUUUGGUCUUGUGGCACGCGAUCACAACUCCAACAUGAUGGUAGUUGCAUCUCAUAUGGAAAAUACUAGAUAUGGUCCAACAGUGGCAGAAGCUCUAGGCCUGCGAUGGAGCCUAUUUACAAUCAGAGACAUGGACAUGGAGGAUGUAAUAAUAGAGACAGACUCGCUCUUGGUCUACAAAGCAAUGACAACAGAUCGAUGCAAGCCAGCUAUAGAGCCCAUCAUCCAAGAUUGCAAGCAGCUGAGUAAUAUGUUUCCUGGCAUUUCCUUUUCUCAUGUAAACAAAAAGGCUAAUAACGCAGCCCAUAUUUUAGUUUCCUUGGCAAAUGAGUUCCCUUCCAAUGUGUGGUGGGAAAAUCCUCCUAGAGCAGUUGCAGAAGCUAUUUUUGUAGAUGCCUUUUCCACUCAUUAAUGAAAUCUACGUACCGAACUUCAGAAAAAAAAAAACAUAGUAAAUAGACCACAAGGGCAAUUCAAAUCAUGACAACGGUUGCCAAACCAAGUGGUUCGAGGUGGUGGUGUUGGCCGUAGGGGCAGAGAUGAUUUUUUCUAGGGUUUCUAGGUUCUAUUCUCUUGUAUGAUUUUUUUUGGAUGACUAAAAUUAAUUUUUUUCCCCUAAUUGUGGAGAUGCUUUUUAAAAAUUAUGUUGAUGAGGGAUGAAAUUAAAUUUUGGUUCAAAAUUUAGGGACUAAAAAACAUAUUUAAUCCUUUAAUAAAAUGAAUGUAUUAUGAAAUUAAACAUAAAAAGAAUAAUGAAAUGAGUUGGAAUACAUGAAGACACAUGUUAUAAUAUUAUUGGAACACUUCAUCAAGGGUGAUUUAACCCAAUUUUUAUCUUGGGUCAUUUAGACAACCCCAUUUAAACAAUUAAGAGUUUAAUAUUAUAAAUCUGAACUAGAGAUACCUGGGCCCUUUGGAGGUGGAUCUACGCAAGCAGUUGUUUCAGGUGGGACUCAAGCACAACCUCCACCGGCAGUUGUUCAGCAACGAAAUUGCAGGAGAAGGUGGAAGAAGAUUCUAGGAGAGAAAGAGAAAGGGGUAUUGUUGUAAAUGCAACUUUAAAUUGAAUUCAAUCUGCAUCAUUCAUUUUUUAAGAAUAUAUCCAAUGGUUGUUAUUUAACUGAACCAUGGUGAAUCACUUUUAAAGUGACACACGGAAGACGAAACCCAUCUUGAGAGUUGAAUAGUACAUUAGUACUAAAAUUUAUCAUGUUUAAUUAUAGAGAAGUUAAUGCAUUUGCAGAUAACUUAGCAAAAUAGGGUUGUUUAAUAGAAGCAAUAUUUUGUGGGCUGUGAUUGAUACUGUAUAAUCUGUUAUUUUCUGUAUAUUACUCCUACUUGAGAAGGAUAUAUUCCAUUUCAAAAAAAAAGGAUAUUGUUGGCCCAAAAUAUAUGGCCCAAAGCCACAUGGGCCUGUCGAAGAGUGAGUCCAGGAAAAUCAGAAAAAGUGUUAAGUUAAAUUGAUGGCACAAUUCGACGAAGGUGACGUUGGAGGCAGUUGCUAUUUAAACGGGCAAAAGUGACUCGUGCAUUUAACCUGCGAGCAGGCCAUAACAGAAUCAGUUAGGGAAGCGUGCGCUUCUCCCCACGAUGGCCAUUCCACGUGGCAAGCAAGCGGUUAGGACGCCGAAACCAGACCCACUAACUCACCCAGCAAAAGGAAAAACCGCUAAGGACAUGCGAGAUAUUGGAGUACUAUAAAUAGGAGAAGAUCAUUCANNNNNNNNNNNNNNNNNNNNNNNNNNNNNNNNNNNNNNNNNNNNNNNNNNNNNNNNNNNNNNNNNNNNNNNNNNNNNNNNNNNNNNNNNNNNNNNNNNNNNNNNNNNNNNNNNNNNNNNNNNNNNNNNNNNNNNNNNNNNNNNNNNNNNNNNNNNNNNNNNNNNNNNNNNNNNNNNNNNNNNNNNNNNNNNNNNNNNNNNNNNNNNNNNNNNNNNNNNNNNNNNNNNNNNNNNNNNNNNNNNNNNNNNNNNNNNNNNNNNNNNNNNNNNNNNNNNNNNNNNNNNNNNNNNNNNNNNNNNNNNNNNNNNNNNNNNNNNNNNNNNNNNNNNNNNNNNNNNNNNNNNNNNNNNNNNNNNNNNNNNNNNNNNNNNNNNNNNNNNNNNNNNNNNNNNNNNNNNNNNNNNNNNNNNNNNNNNNNNNNNNNNNNNNNNNNNNNNNNNNNNNNNNNNNNNNNNNNNNNNNNNNNNNNNNNNNNNNNNNNNNNNNNNNNNNNNNNNNNNNNNNNNNNNNNNNNNNNNNNNNNNNNNNNNNNNNNNNNNNNNNNNNNNNNNNNNNNNNNNNNNNNNNNNNNNNNNNNNNNNNNNNNNNNNNNNNNNNNNNNNNNNNNNNNNNNNNNNNNNNNNNNNNNNNNNNNNNNNNNNNNNNNNNNNNNNNNNNNNNNNNNNNNNNNNNNNNNNNNNNNNNNNNNNNNNNNNNNNNNNNNNNNNNNNNNNNNNNNNNNNNNNNNNNNNNNNNNNNNNNNNNNNNNNNNNNNNNNNNNNNNNNNNNNNNNNNNNNNNNNNNNNNNNNNNNNNNNNNNNNNNNNNNNNNNNNNNNNNNNNNNNNNNNNNNNNNNNNNNNNNNNNNNNNNNNNNNNNNNNNNNNNNNNNNNNNNNNNNNNNNNNNNNNNNNNNNNNNNNNNNNNNNNNNNNNNNNNNNNNNNNNNNNNNNNNNNNNNNNNNNNNNNNNNNNNNNNNNNNNNNNNNNNNNNNNNNNNNNNNNNNNNNNNNNNNNNNNNNNNAUGGUUAAUAUAGUAAGACGAUGAUCUUCGCAUAGGGAGACCGUGUAGCAAGAUAAGAUAUGGUAUGAUGGAACCAAUCAUAGGAUAAGAUUUAUGUAUGAAGUCUUAGAGUGCGUAAAGUCAAUCGGUGAAUUCCAAUUCCAACAAUCGUCUCCUCUUGAUUUCAAACCUCUUUUAUAUCGUUUUGUUAACUUACAUGUUAUUUUAGUUACCGAAACAAUCAAUCAUUGUGAAACCCUCAUUUAAGUUGUUAACUAUUGAACGGCGAAAGUAUUACACCUUCCUGUGUGUUCCGGGUAAGAACAUUGAGAAAGGGUGUAAUCCCUAGAGAGAGAAGUGAUUGCACUUAGGAGAGAGCUCUAGAGAGAGAAUAACUGAAUUUCCUGUGUGUAUUCAUAAAAUGAGCCAGAAGUCCUCUACACUUGAUAACUACCUCCUAUUUAUAGAGCUUGGGUACUACCUAUUGGGCCAAUUGGGCCUCCGAGGUCAAGGCCCAUCUGAAGGCCAGGGCCCCGCCUCAGGGCGGGAUACAUCACAUUAACAAUAACAACAACAAUGAUGAAAAGUUUCUUCCUCUUUAUUCAGAUGAUAUCCGUGGGUUUCCUUAUGAUCUUAACUUUUUUCCUUAUGUUAAUUAGCAAGCCUUUGAAGCGGUUUAUCUACAGGAUUCAAUGCAUGUAUAUUAUUACCAGUGGAAAAGGUGAGUAUCUCUUCUGUUAUAAUUUGAUGCUGCAAUUUUCGAUGAUUACCUUGGAGGUAACUCAAUAUGUAGGCGUGGAAAGGUUGGGGGGUUUUAAUUAGGUUGGGGGUGUCCAACUGGUCAAUUGACUUGGGUAAUUUUGAGCUGUUGGUUAUGCUUUUCUCUGUAACUAGUUUUGCUCUGUUUUACUCCAAUUUUGAUUCAUUAAUCUUUGUAAUUUAGGGUUUGAGUACCCCUAGUACUCUUUAUUAAUAUAUUUUGCUUACCCAACAAAAAAAAGUUGUUCUUAUUGUUGGGUUUCUUAUUUUUAGAUUGGUUGUUGUUGUUCUUGGUGAUGAAUCUAUUUUUAUUUUCUGUGUUUUUGAUGAAUAAUGAUGAAGAUGAAGAUGAAGACGAACAACAUAAACUUGAAUAUGAAGAUGAUUGGGGAUGAAGAUGAUGGGUUAAAAUGAAAUUUUAACUUUUUUUUUGUUUCAGUCCCUCUGCAUAUUCCACGUGUAGUUAAAAUAAUUCAAAACCGGCUAAAUAACUGACAUGUCAGUGGUCAAAAUGGUCAAAGGAGGGAAAACAAACGAUUUACUAAGUAAAGGGACAGGAACCAUCAGAAAUUUAAUUGAGGGACGGAAACCAAAAUUUCGCUAUAGUUCAGGGACGAAAAGAAUAUUUAACCCAAAAAAGAUUUUAAGUUUUCAAAUGAUCCUUCUAAGGUGGUCUAGAACUGGUAUCCUCCUCCAUCUUCUAGGGUCAAGCUUAAUACGGAUGAGAGUUGUUUGUUUUCAUUGAGUAAGGCUGGUACCAGUGGCGUUGUGAGGGACAAUAAUGGUGCUCUGUGUUUUGGCUUCGCCUCAAAGUUGGGUCGCGUAGAUGUUUUCCUUGUUGAAAUUAUUGCUAUAAAGCAAGGACUCAAGUUUUGUUGGCAGCGGGACUUCCGCAAGGUGAUUUGCAAAUCAGAUUACCUGGUUGUGGUGGAUAUUAUGAAAUGAUGUGGUAGAGGCUUGGUUCCAGAGUAUAAUGUGGAGGUAAUUGUUGUUCUGCAACUCUGACACUUGGAUUGAGAGGUUUCUCCUUAUCAUAUUAAAUGUUGUAAUGUUGUGACGGACAAGCUCGUAAACCUUGCUCAUGCCCAACAACAUGUUCAUCUGUUCUGGGAGGAACCUCCUCCUCUAAAGCUUAAUUAAUCUAAUGUCAUAAUGCUUAUUUGACACUUUUUACCAAUAAUCAGCUCACAUAGGUGAUCCACGUCGAAUUUUAAUAUAUGUUUUAGUCUCUCAAAAACUACUUUGAUCGAAUUUAGUCCUCCACAUUUUUACCCUUUUCUUCCUCUUCAUCACCCUUUCUUCCCACCCACCACCCUUUCUUCUCACCAUUGUUUCCGACGAGCCACUGUGACCACCAAUCCUGCGACCACCAUUAACCACGCACCUGAAAAUUUUCCCUCCCCACCACCAAAAUUUCCCUCCCCUCUCUUAAGUUCUAAUAAAUACUUGAAUUCUCAAUAUAAAUAUAAAGAUGCACACCGGAAAAUGGAUUUGGAAAGACUUAAUUGCACUUUUGAUCCCUGAUUUAUCACGGUUGUGUGAAUUGACUCUCACAUAUUUAAAACGAGUGAUUUUGGUCCCUCAAGUUCUAAUUUGUGAAAAUCGGUCCUUCCAUCAACUUGUCAUCCAAUUUGAAACAGAUAAUGAUGGUGUGGAUUUUAUAAUUGCACCGCCAUGGAUGACAUAUCUGUAAAUAAAUAAAAUAAAAAUAAAAUUCAUUAUUUAAAACAUAACACCAAACACUCAUGACCGUCAUAUUCAUCCCCAUCCAUAUCACGCAGAAACUCAUCAUCUUCAUCAUAUCCAUCCUCAUUCUUCCAUUAUCAUCCCCAAAAUUCAAAAACUCAAAUGAGAAGAGCUUAAUUUCAGAAUAUAUUAUAAGGAAAAUUAACUAAUUUAAUCAUUCUUAACAUGUGACACAUAGCUAAUUAAAAGAUAUAUUACACUUAAAUAGUAAAUGAAGGACAAGUGUUGGGUCUCUUAUGUAGAUUUGUUUAAGAUUUACAAUUUACACAAUUUCUAACAGAUAUAUAGAAAAAGAAAACUUUCUCUGGCAUAGAUCUAAUGCUUGAUGCAAAGGAUGAUUUCCAUUGAAAAGGCAUCCGUUUCAAUCUUGAACACUUGCAUCUAUGUCAAUAAAAAUGUAAAUGUUUAACCUUUAUAAAUCGAUAGUUCCUUUUAUUAAGAUUCAAAAGGGGAAACCCAUUUGUACCCUAGAUUAACAGUGAUAAAGAUCAAAAAGAGAAAUCCAUUUUGAUCCCAACCAAAUAGUGAUGAAGAUUCAGGAGAAACUCAUUUUGAUCUAAGACAAACGAUGAUAAAGAUUCAAAAGGAGAAAUCCAAAAGGAAAUAUGAUCCAAAAAGGUCUGAAUAUUAAAAUUAAUUAAAUCUGAAAAAAAUCAAAGAAUAUUCUAAGAUGCUCCAGAAUUUUAUUUUAAUUUAAAUAAAAUCUGAAUUAUUAAAAUAAAACUCUAUUUUUCCUCAAAAUAUCCAAUUAUUAUCUCUUAAUAAAUCUCCAAUUGUGUGUUGCACACACAUUAUAACAUUCAGCCACCAAACCCUUGGGCUUAUUUGAAUCCUCAAGGGAGUAUGUGAUAGUUGACAUGCAUGUUGUGAACCUUAUUCAAAUGUUCAUGAAUGUGGUAAGUAACCCCAAUAACGAGUUGUUGGGACGGUAAUGGAGUCUUGCAAGUGGCACUAAAUCUUUCUCCUCUAAAGCAAAAUAUAACUAAAAUAUAAUUAUGACAUUAUGUAUAUCUUCUAUUCUAUAUCAUAUAACAUAUAGAUUCAUUGGGUUAAUAUUAAUUUCAUUUUUUGUUUCAUAUAUCAAUUGAGUACCAGGUCCUUCACCCCUAGUUGAAGCUUGUGAGGGCUGUUUUGUGAGACACUGCACUAGAUGGGACAUGGGCAGUGGUAGACAUGUUCCUUGGCAAUCUGCGAAGAAGCAGAUUAAGACCCUUCGCAAGUGUUAUCAAAGAGUUGGAAAAUGGCUACUCCAGAGUUAUAUGGGUGGAACACAAGACCUAUUGUGUUGUGCUAGUGUUCGGAGCAUCAUCAACGCAUACUGGACUACACAAACUUGGACAACACCAAGUCUAGCUGAAUCUGAAUCCGAUGAUGUGAAUGUGAUGAUUAGAAAGGGUGGGGAUGGUACUGUUUGUGGUGGUGCCACUUCUUUUUGGAUCUCACGUCCCAAGGUGGCUUUUGAUUACAUUCCUGAUAAAAACGAAGAGAAAUCAGAUAUAAAAAUUUAGUAAUUAGGGAAAUGAAAGAAAUUACACGCAUAGUAUGUGGAGCUGAUACCGAUAUAUAUAUAUAUAUGUGUCUAUUAUACUUCUUUUCAAUGAAGAUUCCAGCGAGAACAGUCUAUUAUAAGAAACUUGGACAAAUUCUAGUGGCUGCUACUUUGUUUAUGCAGAGGUGUUUGGUUCUUCAUUAGAUUAGCGUUAAAGUUUUUCCCAUAUGUUGUGUGUACUCAAUAAAUUUGCAUCAGUAAUAAAGUUGACUUUUCAAGUUACGCGUUGCGCGAACAUAUAUUAAUAUUUUUUGGUAAAAUAAUAGUUUUUUAAAACAUAAAUUAAAUGCUAAGAAUUGUAAAAUUGUAAUUUAAAAUAUUAAUUGUGUCAAUACUGAUAGUAUUUAGUAAUAAUUAAAACUUACUUAGAAAUAGAACUAACAAUAAUUCAUGCAACUAAUUUAACUACUUAUACUAAAUAAAUAUAAAUUAUUUUAAAGAAUCUUAAUUAAUUAAUAAGAAUUUAAAUAAAUAAAAAUAUUUUGUAAUCUUUUCAUAUUAUUAAUUUUACUAAAUAUGUCAAUAAAAAAAUAUACAUUUUAUAAAAUAUUGUGAAUAUUUGUAUAUGAAUAUAGACACACAUAUAUAUUUAUAGUGAGCAUGUAUUAUAUGUUGGUUUUAUAAACAUGCAUUAUAAGUGUGUUAUAUAAACAUGUAUUAUAUGUUUCUUGAAUGAAAAGACCUAGACUCUAUGAGAUAAUCUAGAAGUAUCUAUAUAUAUUUUGAGUUUAUAUUUAUAAAUAUGAUAAAUAUAUCAAAAAAUAAUUUACAUAUUAAUAAUAUAUUUUAAAGAACAAUUAUCAAUAAAUAAAAUUGUGAUCAAAUAAUUUUAAUGUUCAAUAUUUUAUUUUUGUUUAAUUUUGUAUUUAGUUGUUAUUAUUAUUUUACUAAUUUGAAAAGGACUAAAUAUGGAAAUUUAAUAUAAGGUUUUAUAUUUAAAUGAUAUUAUUUAAUAUUAUGAGUAUUUUUAUCAAACUAUAAAUAGGUGUUAUUAUACUGUCAUGAAGUGCGCAAUAUAUUAAAAGUUAAUUAUUUUUUCUACCAAUGAAGCACUUUCAUUUCUAGUAUUGGAUUUUUUUCUAGUUCAAAUUGGCAUAUUAAUGACGGUUGUGUCGUCGGUAACUUAACGACGGUUGAGGUCGUAAGUAACUUACCAACGGCUAUGACCAUAGCUAAGUUACCUAUGACUUUUGAAAAUCGUUGGCAAAUAUUACUGAGGAGCUUAAUAACGAUAGAUAUUUGAUCGUCAGUUAUUUUAUUUACUAACGACUUUUAAGGCUUACUGACGAUUUUUGUCUGUCAAUAAUUUUCAUUUUUCUUGCAAUGAAUGUCAUAUCUUCAACUUAUAGUUUAAAUAAUUAAGGUGACUUCAAAGAUGUGCAAAUGUAUUUUAAAGUGGGGUUAGAUGAAAUGUUAACUAUUCAUUUGGUCUAUCUUAAACUUUUUUCUUAUUUGAGUCUCAUGUAUUGAAUGUUGAUGGAGUUAAAAAUGUUAUAUAAAAUAAUCAUUUGGAAGUUGAAAAAUAAAUAGGAGAGAGUGCUCCAUGUUGGGCCGAGAGAGGAUAAACCAGAGGAUCAUCACUUUGGGCUUACAUGAGCACACCAAAAUGGAUUGGACACCACAUCUUUCACCCAAAACCUUAAGGCAUUAGGUGUGUGGGUCUUCUCACUUAUAAAUUGCUCAUUACUCUUCUUACUCACACUUGACAAAUACUUGCACCGUUGUUGGCCACCUAGCCACCAUUGCUAGGAAAACUUUCGACAUAAGGAGCCUUCACGAUGAUCGCACUAACCAUCGACUCUGAUACCACUGUUGGGCAAAGAGAGGAUAAACCGGGGGAUCAUCACAUUGGGCUUACAUGAGCACAUCAAAGUGGAUUGGACACCACAUCUUUCACCCAAAACCUUAAGGCAUUAGGCGUGUGGGUCUUUUCACUUAUAAAGUGCUCAUUACUAUUCUAAUAUUCCAAUGUAUGACUUCUUACUCACACUUGCCAUCCCAACACUCCAAAAUCUGAAUUUAAAUUACUAUAAAUUUAGUGUUUUUUGGUGUUGAAGCUUCCAAUUUUACCAAGCACCCCUUCAGUUUCAUUCACACCUCACGUGUGUCUUGUAUAUUAUCCUCAUUCCUCACAGCUAGCUCUUCACUACUUCAAAAAUUUGUUAUUUUUACAUACUAUUUCAUUCUUUGCUCGGACAAGUAAGUAUCUACUACUCAGUAGUUGUUAGCAUCUCUAGAGUAAAUUAAAAGUAGUCUAUUCAUAUUGUAGAUGCAUGAGACCUUAUAAAUAUCUAUUUUCACUUUUUCAGUACUUCAUAUUUCAACGAGACUGAAAAUGAUAUCAAUACCACCUGAAAUGUCUACUAUUUUUCAAAUUGACCAUUUAAAUGAAUGACUUUUUGUACUUAGCAUCUGCAUAAAUUUCCAAAAAAAUAAUCCUUGGCUAUUCAUUUCUUUCCUAAAAUGAUAAACACAUCAGGAUGGUUCAAUUUAGGCCUAAAAUUAUUUAUUGGGCCAGCCUGAUUUCUGUCCAGAAGCAGUGACUCAAUGGCCCAACUUCAACUUGAAGGAGUGAAUGGGAUGGCCUGAUUCCAGCCCAAAAUCAAUGAUUGAGCUUGCUAUAUUUAAGCCUGAACCCAAGUAGCACCCAGUUUUUUUUUUUUGAAAGUGAAAGUAGCACCUAGUUUGAUUCUUCAUAGCUAUGAAUUUUUUUUUUUUAAAAAAAGAAGCUAUGAAUAAUUAGUUUGAGAAACAUUCAAUAUACAGUGUAGUAGUGUACUAUUUCCAAGGCUAUGUUCAACAUCCAGUUCAAUGUGUAUCUAUAACUACUAGCGUUUUUAUCCCGUGCGUUGCAUGGCGAAUAUUGAUCUCAUUAUUUAAGCACGAUUAAUGAAUUAGGCUUAAUAGCUCUUUUGGUCCCUCACUUAUCACAAUUUUUCACUUUUGGUCCCUUUAGGAAAAAAUUAGCAAAAUUAGUCCCUUAUAUUUACACACUUUUGCAGUUUUCGUCUAAAUAAGGAUCAUUUUUGCAAACAAAUAAGCAAUGUGGAGGACCAAAAGUGCUAAUUUUUUUAUUGGGAACCAAAAGUGCAAAGCUGUGAUAAGUGAGGGACCAAAAAAGCUAUUAAGCCUUGAAUUAAGAUAUGAAAAAUUGAAAAAUGAGCAUUCAACCAAACAAAAUCACAAUGAGUAUUACACAACUUGCAAAAUUUGACAAAAACUUUAUAUACAUUUAAUCCUAAAUAUUUUUAAAAUUAUAAAAAAUAUACUUAAAUUAGAUUAAAAAUUGUUCCCAAGAGUUAGCAAUAGUGGUAAAAGCUAGGAGCCAUAAGGGAAGGAUGGAAAUGAAGAGUUAGCAAAAAUUAUUAGUUUUAACAUGAACUAUUUCUUGUGUAGAAUGUUUUUCCCCGUCAAACUUUUUUACCAUGUAAUCUAAUCAUAAGUAUAUAAUACUCAUUUAAGAAAAAUGUUUUAGAAUUUGACUGAAAAUUUGGCCUCAAUUACUAUUAUUUAGUACUCAUUUUAAAUUUCAAACUCAAAUCUCAAUUUUUUUUUUUUACAAUUUUUAAAAAAGAAAAUUCAUUAACUUAAAUUGAAUAUUAACUCAUUAAUCAAUGAGAUCAUUCUAUAAAUUAUAUUUAUUUCUUAAAAAAUUAAAAGAAACCUAAUUAAUUAUUAUGAAUGAAUUUACAAAUGAUUUAGGGUGGAAAGAAAAGCGUAUUCUGUGUCUGAGCAAAAUAAUUUAAAAUCCGAGUGAAAAAUUGGAUCAAAUUACUUUUAUUUAGUACCCAUUUUAAAUUUCAAACUCAAAUCGCAAAAUUAUUUUUUACAAUUUUAAAAAUAAUAAAUUAAUUAAAUAAAAUUAAAUAUUCACUCAUUAAUCUAUGAGAUCAUUCCAUUAUUUACCUUUUUUCUAAAAAAGGUAAAAGAAACCCCAAUAAUUAUUAUGAAAGGAAAAAUCAAAAUCUACUCAUUAAAACGGAACUGACUCUUUUUUUCAUCAUUCCACUCUGAAAUUUCAUGUUGCCCAAUUAGAAUGUUUUUUUUUCUAAAUUGAUUAUUCAUUUCCUUUUUACUUAAAAAACGGAUUUGCCUUAUUUAUACUCAUAACUAACUAAAUCUGAUUUUGCUUAAGAAAGUUGAUUAUGUACUGCACUCAUUAAAUUCAAUAUUUAUUUUCUUUUUUCAUUAAAACUAAAGGAUUAAGCGUUUACAUUUUUUUUAAUAUCACACCAUAAAUUUUGACGCAAGUACUAUUAUUCACAACCAAUUUUCAAUUUCAAAUUUAAAACUCAAAUUUCAAUAUUAAAUUGAAUAUCCACACCAUAAUCUAUGGAAUUAUUCUAAAUUUUAUAUUUAUUACAUAAAAAAGUUAAAGUAACUCCAUUAAUUAUUAUUAAAGGAGAAAUCAAAUUUAUUCACUAAAACAGAAUUGACAUUUUUUUAUUUAUUUUACCUUGAAAUUAAAUGUAUCCUAAUCAAAAUAAUUUUUUUAAAAUUGAUUAUUCAUUUCCUUUUCAUUAAAUAAACAGAUUUUUCUUAUUUAUAUUGAUCACAAACUAAAUCUGAUUUUGUAUAAGAAAGUUAAUAUCUACCCAUUAUAUUUAUUAUUGAUUUGCUUAUUUUGUUAAAAAAAAGUAUCAAGUGUUUUAAAAUCUGACUGAAAAUUAGGCUCCAGUUACUAUUAUUUAGUACUCAAUUAAAAUUUCAAACUCAAAUCUCAAUUUUUGUUUACAUUUUAUAAAAAAAGAACUCCAUUAACUUAAAUAUAAUAUUAUGACCUAAAAAAUUCUACAUGACCUAAAAAAUAUAAUAUUCACACCAUAAUCUAAACGCAAAACAGUAAAUAACUCAAAGUGCACAAAUAAAUAAAUAAAUUACAACAUAAAACGACAAUCUUUGCUAAGUUGGAAGAAGAUGCAUUAGCCUUUAAUCUAGAAGUAGUUGUCAUGAACGGAUCUGAACUAUCCUGAAAUAAGAGUAAAAAUUGAAAUUCACAAUACAUAACUAUCUAUAGUGAUAGCAUGUGCAUAUAUAAUAGUAUUUAAUUUUAUUUUAACUUACAUCACUUAAUACUAAUUAUGUAAGCCGCAACUGUUCAACACUGUCAUCAUCAACCAAAAUCUGUGAACACCAAAAGAAAAAGAGUAUAACCAAAUUGUAACAUGCUAAACAUUAAAUCAAGCAGCAAGGUCAGUAGAUGAAGAUUCAUGCCUAAAAUAUAAAGAUGUAUAUGUUUUCCUGAGUUAUAUGUUUCAAUAUGUUUUGCUCAAAAUAAAUGUGAAUCAAAAAAUUCAUAAGGCUUACCUCUCAUUCCUCGUAUCUCUUCUUUGGUUUUUAAUUGUAGAACAAAACUCAACCAAGCCACUCUGGAAAAACAAACAAAAAAAUUCAGCAAAAUCUAACAGAAAGUAGGAAGAGGGCAAAAACCUCACAUGUUGUAUUCACUCUUGAAGAAUCUUCCAUAUAAGCUCACCAUCCCCAAUUCCAAUUCGCAAUAAAAGUCCCAUGGUGAUGAGGCCUAUGAAAUUACAGAAGGAAAAGUAAAAAAGCAUCACUCCAAUCAAAAUCAUUUCAAUAAAUCACACACGUUGCAGAUCAUUUCAUAAUGUUCAUAGAAAUGUAACUAUACCCUUAUGAUAUGGCAAGAAACUGGUUGAAUCAGAAGCAAUACCUGAACUUUUUUUUGCUUUUUCAACAUUUGCUUCUCAAUUUCCCAGUCAUCACAACAAUAGUUAUUUCAAAGCUCUUAGAUGAUGGUUAAAUAAUGGAAUGAUAGAGGAGAAGAAUUACAUAAGAGAGUUUAUAUAGAUGAAAACAAUUAGGGUUUAUGUUGUUUGCAUGUGAAAAAAGGAAGGAGAAUAUUGUUCAAAAAAGAAUAUUCAAAAUUUGAAUUUAUAGGUUGUCAAAAUUUUAAAAUUUGAAUCUUGAUUUCAAAAACGUACUUUUUGAAAGGUUAGCAAAAUCAGUUUUAAUCACAUAAAAAAAAAGCAAAAUACGUAUAACAAAAGUGAGAAAGUUUUCGUUUUUAAGCCUUAUGUAUGAAUAAGAAUAUUAAACAUCUAUUAAUGUGAUUUUGAAUGAUUAUUCCAUAGGUAGUCAAUGAUGGGUGAUGACUUUUGUGACAGCAUUAAUGGAGAGUUUAAAAAAAAUUAAACAACAAUUAAUAAUAUUUUGAAUGACUAUUCCAUAAGUAGUUAAUGAUGGGUGAUGACUUUUGAUUCAGCAUGGACAGUUAAAAAAAAUUAAUCAACAAUUAAUGAGAUUUUUUAUGAUUAUUCAAUAGAUUGUCAAUGAUGGGCCACAAAACCAAAAUUAAGGAGAAAUUGUCUCACCAUAAAUUUGUUAGAAUGACUUAGAGCUUGACACUUGUCAGCUAAUGAGGGAGGGUGGAUAAGAGUGAACCUGGGAGUGCCAACUCAUCUAAGUGGGUCUCACAGAGUUCUUCUUUUCUAUAGUAUAUAGACUACAAAGGGAUAACAUUUUUGCCACUAUUCACAUUAGGGUUUUUCAUAAAUGUUGCUUAGGUGCACCAUAAGGAACUUUUUUUUGUUACUUUUUGGUUUUUUAUUUGGUUUAAAUUGAAGUUUUAAAAUUAUUAGGUUAUGCUUCAAAAGGUAUUUUUUGUUUGUAUUUACUUUGGUUGAGUUUGAUGGAAAUAAUUUCAUAUUUUUUAUUUUUAGCUCUAUGUAAUAAUUCUUUUAAUAGAUGAUAUUUGUUAAUAUUUAUUAUGUGGAUAUUAAUAUUGAUAGUAUAGAGUAUUAAAAAAAAUAUAUUGAUAGUAUAGAUAAUUGUAGGCCUAAAUAAUAGAAAUAAAAAAUUAGGAAAUUAAGUAUUGAGAUUAUUAUUAAUUUGAUAAUAUGAUACAAAUGAAUAAUUAGGGAAAAACUUAAAUCAAGCUCCUUAUCUCCAUAUUUUUAAAGACUCCAUGGUAAAAUUGACAAAUGAACAUUAUUUGUAAAAAUAAGAGAUAUUUAUUAAGACUUAAUUAUAAAAUCUAUAACUACUACAAAGGAGAGUCAAUAUGUAACUAUUUCUGUUCAAAAAAAAUGUAACUAUUCAUUCCUGUUCAUGGUGUUUUUUUUUUUUAUCUUUUGGUAUUUUAAAAAUAUAUAUAGUUUACUUUUCCCGGUUUUUUUGUGGAAGGACUAUAUGAUAUAUCAGUUUGUAGCUAAUUAAGGUUACUUUUGAUGUUACUUUUUUCACUCGAAAGUUGUCGGACAAACUUUUGAUGUUACUUUAUUCACUCGAAAGUUCUCGGACAAAUUUGCAAUACAAAUGACUUUGUGGGGCACUUUUGAUAUUACUUUUUUCACUCAAAAGAUGUCGGACUCAUUUGCAAUAGAAAUUACUUUGUGGGGAACUUUUUAUAGGAAAAAUUUGUGCGAAUGUGAUGUUUGUGAUUUUGCCCCCAUUGUAUGGCUAUAUAAGUGUCUAAUUCUUGGUUUUGUGAGGCAAAUAUCGUUGGUUCUAUUUUGCUUGCUGUUACUUUACUCUGGUAUUUCAUAAUUGGAAUUCUCUGUGUUAUCUGGGAGGAUUAUUCUAAUGGCUUCAUUUGCUGAUUCACCUGUGGAUUGCUGAUUCUUUUAUUAGAGAAAAUAAGCUUGUGUCCAUGAAGCUGAUUCUGCUUGACCAACAUGUACGGUUAAACUGCACGGUUUGUUCUCUUUUUCUCUAUUUUCCAGUUAUGCAGUUAAUGUUUUUUUAAUUUGGUGUGUUAUUUUGAAUUUCUGGGGUAACUCUCUUUUGUUGGUGUAUGGAGAGGUGAUCAUGCAUACGUGUGAUCAAUUUGUGUGAUCAAUUCAAUUGACUAACAUGUUUUGAUUUUUUUUUCCUUUGUAGUUGAAUUGAAGAAGCAAAGUUCAUGCUCAGUUCAGUUGACUAACAAACUUACCACUAUGUUGCUUUUAAGGUUCGAACAAUGCCCCUUUCUUCGUUUCAGGCAUGAAAUAAUGGAGAGAUUUAUCGUUUUGGUGUGAAAUUUGCAGGUCAAGACCACAUCGCUGAAGAAAUAUAUCAGGUUGAGGUUUGUCUGCAGCAGAGUUUUUUCUUCCCCCUCUGUGGUGCCGUGCUUUUUUGAGCAAGGAUUGGUGAUAUUCUUGUACUGCUCUCGGGUUUUACUAUUUUACUUGAAGACCUGUUUCUGGUUGCUUCUCGUUGAUUUGAGUGGCAAGUUUGGUUUGAAUUGGUCGCACAUGUUGUGCGUAGGUUGUUGGGGGUGGGAAUGCAAAUCAGUUUGUGUGUUAUUUGGAGAGAUAAGGAUUGACUGAGUAUUUAAAUUUGGGGAGUUGAAUUGAGGCGCAAGAUUAGGAGCAAGGGGUGGGUUAUUUGCUGACACAAUAUUUUGUGGAAGAGAGUGGGGAAGUGAGGUUGAAUUUGAAUUAGAAGAUGAGGCAGAUAAAGAAGAGUAAGGAAAAAUAUUCUUAACAAACCUUACAUGCUUUGAUGUAUACAGUUUUUCCUUAUAUUCUUGAGUUUGUUCUUUUCAGAUUUUUUUCCUCUUUAGCCUUUGGCUUUCUUUUGUAUUUUGGUUGAGGUACCCAUAGUCCCAUAGUACCUCCUUCAAUAUAUUAUCUUUGGCUAAAAAAAAGGACUUAUAUUGUUUUAUCUUUUUUAUGGGGUGAAAAAAUACAAGCAAUUGUGAGAAAAUUGAUGUUUAGGAAGUAGAGUGAGCAGUAUGUGGAAGGCAAUGUGAGAAAACUGAUAUAUAGUUAAGAUUUUAUUUAGUUUUUUUUUAAAUGACAUUUGUUAGAUUUUGAUUUUGCUUUUGGAUGUUUUUUCAUACGGGAUGUGAUAAAAUUUCAUAGAAUAAAGUACAAUCUUAAAAAAAAAUUCAUAAUAUAAAUCAUAGACUUAUUGCUAAAUAAUUAUAAUUAGAAUAAACCAAAUCUUAUUUUUGUAUGUGCAGAUUUUUUUUUCCACAAAGUGUAUGUGCGAAAUAAGAUAAAACCAAAUCGUUAAAUUUUUAAAAAUUAAUUAAUUCUUCGCAGUUGUUAAAUUUUAAGAUUAUUUACUUUUAUAAAUUUAGAGGCUGCCAAAUUUAAUUGAUUAUUAGAUUGAGAUAUCAUACGUAAUUUAUAUGGAAAUGCUCUUAUUCAUUGUGUAUUUGAGAUAAAUUAUUUUUCAUUGUGCAUGUGUGAAAUAUGUUAUUCAAAAGAUUUAUAAGAUGAGUCCUAAUUAUUGUUAUAUUUGCGAAAAAAGUAUAAUUGUUUUUUACACCGAUAAUGGAUAUCCAGUGACCUGUUUUGUGUUAGUGAGUUGUUAGAUUUUAAUCACAUUCUAAAUUGUUUUACAUCGAUAGUGAAUUUUUUUCUUUGAUGUAUGAGAGUUUGUUUUCAGUGAAAAUUUAUCAUUGUCAAAAUAACAAGGUUGAAAAAUAGAUUAAAAUUCGUUCUUGUUUAUUUAGACGGAUAGGUUUUAAUAUUUUGUCAUUUUAUUUGAUUUACUCUUUUUUGUAUGACAUCAUAAUUAAAUCAAAUUAUAUAUUAAAAAUAGGAAAAUAAAAAAUGAUCAAAUAUGAUUGAAUCUUAUUAUAUUCGAUAGAAUGGAUAUGUUAUUUAUUUUUGAGUUUAAUGGAUAUGCACAGUUACAUUGACAACCAUUACACCAUGCCACAUAGGUGGAAUAAUAAAUUUCACCUUAAAUUUUACUUAAAACCGUAAUAUACUUGCUGAUGUGAUAGAAUUCAAUUGAGUGAUUGUGUAAAUAAAAUUUAUACUAACGGUGCAUACGCAUUAAAUUCUUAAUUUUUAGUACGAAACAAAAUCAAAAUAUGUGCACUGAUAUACUUAUAUUUUAUUUUUAACUUAUCAUGUUAUAAUAUUAUAUUUAUAAAAAAAAUUCAGCAACCGUGCAUCGCACGGGAUACUACCUAGUAUAUUACAUAGGAAAAUUACUAAAUUCUGUGUUGCUUGCAUUUGUAAAUUUAUGGCUAUCUGUUUUCUCAUAAGGUGGUGGUAUGAUUUAGGCUGUAAAAAACUGGGUAUGAAAGGUAAUUUUAUUAGGUACUAGUUACUACUGUGAGUCACACUUUAUGCUGUAUCCGCCAUUCUGCAAUAAGUAAUGGCCACAUUUAAAUCCAUAUUAUAUAGGCUAGAGGUAAAGAAGCAUUUCAAGUUAAAAGGUGACGGUUCUCUUGGCUUAAUAAAUUGGUAACUAUAUAAACACAAUAUCCCUCAGUAACAUGUGAGAGAAUGAAAAAUUCCCUCCAGUGUCUAAUAGGGUCUGUGAACUGAAAGUCUGAAACCAGCUUAAUAUACUAUCUUACAAUACAAGAAUAAAGAUACAUUUAAAUAUGUAAAAUUAGUUUCCAUGAAUCCACACUUGACCUUGAAGCUUUUGCAAAAUAGCAGUCCAUAUCAAAAGCAGGUGAUGGUGCAACUGAUGUGUGAAACCAUUAAGCAGCACAGCCUCCACAAACAAUACCUCUGUUAGUCAGUAAAGAAACCAAGUUAACAUAGAGUCCAAUGUUGGUGUAUGAUAAAAUUUCAGCACAAAUAAUCAUAAUUCUCAUUUGCAAAGAAAAAAUGUAUGCUUCAGCUAUUAAAUCACAGGGUGGUUUGAACUGAUGUAGGGGUUAAGAAAAUUAACACAUUGCAACCUGAGUCUCAAUUUCAACUCAGACAUGAAAUUUUCAGAUGAAAUGGUCCUAAUCAGAUUCAGAUUUUCUGCAGUCAUGAGGACAAUCCUAAAUUUACACAUUCAAGUAAUUUUGGCCGUUCCAUCAAGAUUGGACGACUCAUAGGUUUCAUUAAAAUCGGAUAAGCUUAGAUAAACUUGAAAUCUCGUAUGAUUUCGAAUGAAUGACUAAAAUUUCUUGGCUGUGUGAGUUUAGGAUUUCCUUGACUACAAUGAAUCCAAAUUCGUCUUAAUCUCCAUUCAAAGAUGUUUCAGCAUCAUGACAAAUGUACAGAGUUUUUGUUUUUCCAUAAUAACUAUAUCUACUAAGUCCAAUCAUCAUAUACCUAGGCAUAAGCUGCAAUAUUCACAUUGCCUAGCAAUUCAAUCUCCUUAUUCAUUAGGGAAGUCUCCAAGAAAAGUAUACAUACACUAUUCUAUCAUCAAAUCCUUAACUUGAACUAUGAAUAGAUAUGAAAACAUCAUCCAUCAAAUGCUAAGAUAAAUCAUUAGAAUGAUUGAAACUCAAUAGAAGUAAGAGGUACUUACACAAAUGAGCAGCCAGACCUUCUAUGCCUUUUCUUACUAGCCAUUUCUUUCCUCCUUGGAGGUUGAAGGACAACCUUAAUUGCAGUAUCAAAAACUGCUUUGACAUUCUAAAAAUGAAAAUAUAUCUUCAUCAUAAGAUUCUCUACAGAUAAACCAAAGUACAUUACAUCAUACAAGAGCUGACCUCUAUGGAUUCAAAAUGAAAUUUAAACCCACUACCUGUUGAGUCUUCGAGCUGCACUCAAUGUAAGCUGCUGCACCUAUUUGUUUCCUUAGUUCUUCCCCCUGUAAGUAAUGUGCUAAGAUUAGUGAAUGAGAAGUUUUCUAUACUUAAUACAUAAAGGGCUUCAUUAAUACAUAUUACAGAAAAGCUAAUCUAAAGUAUUCAUACCUCAGCAGAUGUUAUAACAUUAGAUCCCAUGUGAUCAGCAAAAUAUCCCCGAUCUUCACGAAGAUCUAGAAUCAACAAUUCAAUGCAUUGUGUCAUUCACUUAUUUCCUCAGUUAGAAAACCAGCAUAGAAAAUAGUGUACAAAAUUUCAUAGGUGCAGCUGCUUACCUAACUUCGUACCAACAAGAACAAUUGGAACAUUAGGUGCAAAUCUACGCAAUUCUGGCAUCCACUGAAAAAGAAUAUAAAGAAAAAAGAUGAGUAACUGCACUAUAUGUUAAAUAAACAACAUUAAGUGGACAUGAAUGCUAUGUUGAAGAUGGUUCAUCAUUGCUUACGCCAAACACAAUGAAAACAUGCACAUAUUCCCUGUAUGCAGAACAAAAAAGUUACAGACUUAAGCUUAGUUUGCAUUUGAAGUGAAAAUGAAAACAAUAAAAUAAGUACGAUUCUGUUUCCUUCCUUCAUGUUUGGAUGAAAAGAAAGAAAAAAAUGAUGUAAGUGAUUUUCUUUAUAGUAAUGAGAGAGAAUUUUAUGUUAUAAACACAUAAACACCCUCGUUAUGACCUUUUUUUUAAAUCAACUUGAUAGUAACCCAGAAAGUGAAGACAAAGAUUGACUGGCAGAACUGAAAAAGAGGAAUUGUGUUACUGAAAAUUGAACACAUACAUGGAGGAUGAAUUCUCCCCAAUGGGUUCCCUUUCCCAGAGGAUUUCUCCUUUUAAUCACAAACCAACAAUGAUAAUAAUCCUCCUAUUCUGAUUCUAUCUAUUUAUAUAGCUUCACCUUCUGCUACUAACUACUUUAACAACCUCUAAGCCCCUAACUAGUUUCCCCUUCCCUUACAUCCUAACACAAUUAUUAUCAAUAUUAGUUGUUAAAAAUUAUUCACAUAAAUUACUAGUAAAAUAUCAUAGAAAACAAUUUUCUGCUACAUAAAUAAUAGGCUUGGCUUAAUUCCACUUUGGGCCCCUGAUCUUUUAAAAAUGAGUGAUCGGGGCCCCCCGUGUUUAAACGUAGCGGUCAGGCACCCCAACGUCUCAAAAACGUGCGUUCCAAGCCCUUCUGUAAAGUGUCGUUUGUUUGACCAAACGGAGUCAGUGACGUCACUUAACAAAAGGGCUUGGAACGCACGUUUUUGAAACGUUGGGGUGCCUGACCGCUACGUUUAAAGAUCAGGGGCCCAAAGUGGCUCCGUUUGGUCAUCGCUCAUUUUGGUCAAGUCACCGGGGGGGAGGGGGGCGAUCGCUCAUUUUUUAAAGAUCAGGGGCUCAAAGUGGAAUUAAGAAUGAAAAAAAAACGCCACGUCACUGGCUCCGUUUGGUCAAACAAACGGUACUUAACAGAAGGGCUUGGAACGCACGUUUUUUAAACACUGGGGUGCCUGACCGCUACGUUUAAACACGGGGGGCCCCGAUCGCUUAUUUUUGAAAGAUCAGGGGCUCAAAAUGGAAUUAAGCCUAAAUAAUAAUGUUAGUAGAUACGGAAAUGUAAAAUAACAGUUUAGCAAUUAAGUUACAGUGAUACCUUUUCCCAAAAUGAGUUGUUUGAUUUAGUGCAGCUAGUUUUAUAAGCACUGCUUGAAAAUAUUAUAAACAUCAUGACACACCAUCAAUGUUUUUGAACUAUAAUUAUCUGAUACUGUACUCACUCAACAGUUAACAUUAUUUUAAGUUUUAUUUUUGGAUCAGAUUGAACCAGUAUAUUCCCUUCCCCCCUCUCUCUGUUGAAUUUUCUAUCCCUGUCUAUAAGUAGCCAUCAAUAGGCAAAAAUGAAAAGUCAAAGAAGGUGACAAAAAUCAACAAAAGACCAAGAUUAUAUAAAAUUAACCAGUGAUCAUUGAAGCUCUUUUAAAUCAAAUAUUCAUUAUUCAACUUGAUUUCUCUGCUUAGUGAUCCUGUAUUUGAAUAUCGUGCCUGUCAAUUUAUUUGUUGUUGGCUUGAAGCUGUUGUUCUAAACGGUUUAAAAGAGUCACUCUUUAACAUUUUGAAAACUAAAUUUCCUUCUCUCAACAUUAAAACAAAAUGCUUGACAAUAUGUUAAUCAACAAUUUCAAAGCUAUUUGAAACAAGGGCAUAGUUAAACUAUUUUCUUUCAUUUAAGUCUUCUGUAGUACCAUAGAAAAUGUUUUUCACUAUGAACUUUGUUCUAUGUUUUCUAUUAACUAUUUUCCUUUCCUCUCAAUUUACUCAUACAUUCAAAGGAAGUCUUGAAGAAAAAGACACACUUUGAAAACUUUAAUCCAAAAUCCAAAAAUAGAAACAAGAGAGAAAAAGUAAGAUAUGAGGAAGCAGAGAUAGGCAUGAACCUUCUUGAGAACAUUUUCAUAGCUAGCUCUGCUAAUCAAUGAGAAUGCCAACACAAAUAUGUCUGCUCCCCUGUAGCUCAGUGGCCUCAACCUACUAUAGUCUUCCUGGCCUUUAAAACAAUUGGACCAAAAAAGUAUCAAAAUUAGAGAACCAAAACUUAGUACUGGACCAUAAAAACUCAAGUGGGGGGAGCUCCUAGUACCUGCUGUGUCCCAAAGCCCCAAAUUGACAAUGCUUCCAUCCACAGCUACAUUAGCACUAAAGUUAUCAAAUACUGUGGGUAUGUAAUCCUGCAAUCCAAAAAGGAAAAAAGAAAAACAGGAAAAGGAGUGAGCAUACAUCAUCCAUGCAUCAGAAACACAAAACCCAGAACACAGAUAAUGAAGCAUCUCAGCACAUUGCAAUAAAUGUCCCAAUAUAGAAAAAAACCCAAAACUUUAUCUUGUUUAUAUGGUGUCUAUAUGUGUAGGAAAAGCACCAUUCAAAUGAAAAAUCCAAAAAUGGGAAGAAAAUUAAACAAGGAAAAUUAAUGGAUAAAGAAACAUACAGUGGGGAACUUGUUGCUGGUGUAGCAAAUGAGCAUGCAGGUUUUCCCAACAGCUCCAUCCCCAACAGUGACACAUUUAAUGAACUUUGAAGCACUCAUCAUAACUAAGAUUAAGCAGCUACAGACACUAACACCUGUUCUAAAUAUAGAAAGACCUCAAAAGUUGGAUUUUAUAAGCUCAAAGAAAAUGUGAAGAAGAAGGAAAUGGAGAAAGAGGGUCUGGAUUCUGAUCUCUGGGUUGCAUUAAAGGGUGUGAGAUAAAUAGAUAAUAGGACCUUGACCAAUUUUCAAGGAAUAAAAAAAUUGGUGAGAGGGAGAGAGAGACACUGCAAUGCAUGUGGUCAAAUGUUGUUGUUGCUGCACUUUUUCAUCCCACUCAAUAAAUUUCAAAUCCAACAGCAAAUUUUUUGAAUUACACAAAGGGGUCCCUCUCUCAAACGGUACCUAUAUUUGAGGCAUGACCAGCCCCAGCAUCUUCAUUUGUUGGCUUCCAACUAAAGAGUCAUUUUAGUGACUUAUUAUAAGUGAUAAGUCCCCACUAAUUGAUCUGUAGGUGCCACCUAAUAUGCACCACUUUUUAGUGGCCCUGUUAAAAAAAUUAUUUUAUAAAAAGAAAAAAAUAUUGGUAUUACCGGGUGGAUUUUGAUGGGAUUAAUUUUUUGAACAGGAAUAAAACGGACAAUUAACAUAGUGGUGCAAAAUUACACCACUAAAAAGUGGUGCAUAUUAGGUGGACCCUGAUCUGUAAGCUUUAUUGCAAAUAAGACGUUAACAAGUGAAUGGACUUCUUAUAUUAGAAUUAUUACAUUCAAAUGCAGGUGAUAUCUAAACACACAAUAGCAUUGCAGUGUUUUAAUUUGUAUCAAUGUUAGGCUAAUAAUCAUAAAUUGUUUUGUGUGUGUUUGAAUAUCAGUUAACUAAAUAUAAAAGCAUAUUUAUCUCAAUUUAUAAAAAAAGUUUUAUUCAAUUUUUAUCUCAAAAUAAGUUUUAAUAUCGGUUAUUAUUGUUGUUAACGAGUAUUCAAACAUUAAUAUUAAUAGAUAGAGAUAAGAAUAACACAGCGGAUAGCUUAGCACGGGAAGCUUGCCGUCUUGGAUCUCCUCUUCAAGUUUGGAAGCAGUCACCCUCCUUCAUUUAUGUUUCCAUGUACUUAGAUUCUGUUAGUUAGUUUUGUUUUUCUGUUACUUUUCCUCUCGUAACAAAAAAAAAAUUAAUAUUAAUAGUGGUAGGGGUUGUCUAAAUCGACCAAAAUUUCAUAGAGUCAAAAUCAUUCUAGCUUAGCUAGUCCAAUAACAUUUUAACAUGUAUCACAUAAAAUUUUAUUUAAUUAUAUAUGUCAAAAUAAAAUUUAGUCACUAAAAGUUAAAGUGAUUAUAUUUAAUAAUUACUUUGAGUGAUUUAGAAAAACACUAUAGUAUAUCUACUCCCUUCGUUUCAAAAUACUCCCUCCGGUUCUUAUUAUAAGAAACAUUUGACUUUUUAGGUUCAUUAUGUAAUUGAUUUAUCUAGUCUAUAUUUAGUAAAAGAUACAUUAAUUAUUCUAUGAACCAAAAAAGUCAAUUGUUUCUUGUAAUAAGGACCGGAGGGAGUAACUGACACUAUUUUUAGCUGAAUUUUGUUCCUAAUGAUUUGUCACUUUACAAAGUUCAAGAUAUGCAUUAAUUAUACUUUACUAAUUGUACCAUUCAUUUAUUGAUGGUAGGAAAUUUGAAAAGUUAGAAUUAAUAAGAGAGAUAAAAGGUAUAAUAGAAAGUUACAUAUAGUAAUUUUAAUAAAAUAAGCACAUUAAUUAUUAUUUCUUAAUACUUGUGUAACAACCUUAAAUUGUUAGUUUUUUGGAACAUAGAGAGUAAUAAGGAGUAUUAACUCUUGAUAUAGUAAAUGUAAAAAAUGAAAUUAGACUUCUUACUUUUUUUUCUUGGACAUCUCUUUCUUUGACUUAUUGUUACUUGUAGAAGAAGAAUCGCACUUUUUAAGACAUUUGCAUCUAAAGCUACAGAGUAGAAAGGAAGAACAAAACAAACAGUAAUAUAAUGGUUACUAAAAGCUUGACAAUAUACUUGUUUAAAGCUUAAAAUAUUUGUUUCCAUAUUUUAUUAGUUAAUUCAGUCCUUAAUCUUUUUUGCUUUAGAAAAAACAAAGCGAUCACAGAACUGUUGAUUAGCAAAUUAGGAUUGAAAAAUGACGGAUUUUUGUUUCUGUUGAUGAACGUGUAGAACACUGGAAAGGAUGGACCCACAUGUCUACAUAACCCCACCAGAUUUUCAUUUAUGAUGAAAAGCUCACACAUCCCAACAGAACAUUCAAAUGUAUUCAAGUAUUCAACCGUUGAAGCUUUUGUUUUGUUGCUGCACUCUGCUUCUGGAUGUGUCUCAGAAAAGCAACCUAAGUACCUGAUCAAGGUUAGGUGGACUUCUUCAUAUCCUGACUAAAUCACAUGGAUGAAUGUACUUGUAGAUGAUUUGGAUUUUUAUUUUUGGUUGCUUUAUACCAAUUAUUGAAAAAGAAAGAACGAAUGAUUUGAAUUUGAAUGUCUAAAUAUUAGUUGUUACUUGUUAGUAAUGCAUUCCCUCCAUUUAAAAAAAAUGCAUGUUGUUUGAAGUUGUGACACAAAGAGUAAGAUGAUAAUUAUUAAUAUUGCAAUUUUAUCAAAAUACUCUUAUUUAAUAUUACUAUUACGAUGUUCAACUAUUAAAUUCAGUGUAUAGAUUGAAAAGAAUUUGGAAAAAAAAUGAUUUGAUUUUAUGAAACAACACAUUUUGAAAAAAAUGAAAAGAUGAGAAAAAAGUAUAACUUAUAUUAAUAGGAGUUUUUUUUAACAUAUAUUAAUAGGAGUUUAAUUGGGAUACAUCCAAUAAUAUUCAUCCUUUUGGCCACAUCAGAUUAUAUUUUAAAAUAAUUUUAUGUGUAAAGAGGCUUUACAUUGCCAGUGUAUUCUAUUAAACUCUAUUAAUAAUGUGUAAAAUCACCGAUUAAUCAAUGUACUAUCUAUAACCAGCUCGCUUUGCACUCUAACACCAACUCUAACAUUGUCAAACAAAAAUGUUUAUUGUAGCCACAUUUUUCUUUAUGUAUACUUCAAUUUUCAGAGAUGAAAAUAAGGUUAAAAAAAUAUAUUUUGGUCAUUUUAAUGAUUCAAUCUCUAUUUUAAUAUUAUGGCUAUGAUCAAAAUUGACCUAAACACCUAAUGUACCAGUGUCCUUCAUAUAAUUUUGAGAGGCACCGUAGUGUUUACCAUUAUAGGUCAAACUAUAAUUAAUUGUCUCUUUCAAGUAUUUAAAUACUCUAUUAACAGCAUGUCAAUGGUCUCUACUUGGAUUACAUGUAUACCGACUUAACCUACCGACAACAUAUGGUAUAUCAGGUCUAGUACAGGUCAUGGCAUACAUUAAACAUCUGAUUGCCUUUGAAUAUUUAAGUUGUGCUACAGGACAUCCCUUGUGUGGUUGUAAAUUAGUAUUUUGAUCAAAAAGGUUAGAAAUUGAUUUGCAAUCAAAAUAAUCAAAUUUCUUAAGCAUUUUCUCAAUAUAGUGAGAUUGGGAUAAACCAAUACUCCCACCAUCUCUUAUGAUUUUAACUCCUAAAAUCACAUCUGCUUCACCUAGAUCUUUCAUAUCAAAACUAUUGGAUGAGAAAGAUUUAGUCUUUUCUACCUCAUUUAAAUAAGUGCCAAAGGUUAACAUAUCAUAAACUGUAUUGAAAAAGAGUUAUAGAGGAUUGGGAGUGGGUUUGAUGUGCGAUUUGGGAGAAUAAACGGCUUCCACAUCAAAGGCUUUUUAAGGUGUGGAGCUUCGACAUGUAAAGCAUGGGGCGAACACAGUGGCUCAAUUUCUCCCUUCCUGCUUAUCUCCUUCAACGAUUUGUGUUUCCCUCUUCUUUUAACUGGACUCUGUUGUCGAAUGGAGAGAGAAAAAAAUAAUUUUUUAAGCAAGUAACAAGUUAAGGAGCGUUGCUUAUUAGCGUUGCUUAAAUAAGCAACGUUGCUUAGCUUUUAGCUUUAAGCAACUUCAUAUCAACAAGCUCCAAUGGAGCACAAAAAUAAGCAACAUUGCUUAUUUCCUCUAACCAGGUUAAGCAACCUGUGUUGGAGUUGAUCCAAGGCCUUAAGUGGGUUUUAAUUGCCCCAAUUUAAGCUCAAAUAUCCAUGGUGAUGUCUAAUAAAAGAUGGACAUUUUGACAUUAGAGGCGCAAAGAAGGGGCACAAAAGUGCGCAUGCACCUUAUACUAACUUUAGCUUGAGAAUCAAUUCACCUGAAAAGGAUUUUCCCAUCAAUCGAGCGAGGCAUGCAUUCUUUGAACCAGGUAGCAGGAUCUUAACUUAUCACUUCAUAAAAAAAAUUGUUUAAUCCAUAAAAUUCAUAUUAUGGAAAACUCCAUGAAAAUAAAUUAAUAAAGUUGACCCUUAUUUUUCUAAUCUUUUACUAACUUAUAUAUUUAUACAAUCUUGUAAGACACGUUAUUAUAAAGGGUGAUGGCUAUGAUGCCUCUUAAAAUUACCUUUUGGGGUGACAUUACAAUUUUUUACUUUAUUUUGAAUGAAAGUACUUAUAAUAACGAUUGAAAACAGAGUCUACAUAUAAAGCAUGAGCUACAUCAUCUAGGGAUUAUCCCCGUAAUUGUGAAGGAAAAAUAAAUUCCAACAUCCCAAACACCGUAUUAAACAUUAGUGGACUGGGCGGGACAUAAGGAUCCCUUAUUCUCGCCCAAAUCGAGCAUUUAGAUGAACGAAAGCAGCCAUGGCGGGGUUUGCGGAACAACAUCGAAUCCCGCCCUUCCUUUGGACAGGCCCACACGCCAGCUAGAAGAUUCCUUUAGAUUUGUCUUAUAUGUAUAGAGGCUUGGGCCCCGGUUGUCAGGCCCAAGUACAGUACAAGUCCACAUCAUGACCACUCCCUCUAUAAAAGGAGAGGUCAACACCUUGUAAAAAGUACCUUUUGAACAUUUAAUGAGAAUAUUCCUUUUAUGAUAUUUUUAGUACUCUGCUAGGGUUUACUUUCUGUCAGUCUCUUACGUCAGAUCUCCCUAGUACAGAACAUUGACGCCGUCUGUGGGUCUUACCUCGAUCUACUACUUGACGUCAAGGGUGAGCUUUAAGAUCCAUGGAAACCCGUUCGUGCGGUGUGGGCCGCCGCGAUCAUCGCCAGAGGGGUGGUGGUCGUCAGGGCGGCCGCGGCGGCGGACGAUACAACAACCGUGAAGUACCUCAAGAGUAGGAGCAAGAGUCUUCCUCGGAGGGAGUUCACUCAGUGGCGCAGUCACCGACGUCGUUGGUGAAUGCAGCUCCGGCGAGACCUUCAGAUCUGAUAGCUAGAUCAGAUCCCGGAGUCAGGCGACGAUCAGCGCCGCCUGAAUACGUGAAUCUCGAAGACCCCAAAAACAGCGCUCCGAGAAAAGUACCAGAAGUAGUGACGGGAAUAACACCGGCGGCUUUGCAACAAAUGUUGGAUACUUUGCAAAAAGUACAAAGCCAGAAUGAGCAGUUGCAAGCCUAGGUGGAGUAUUUAACCCAGCGGCAAGACUAUAAGCAAGAGCAACGGCUCGAGGCUGACGACGUUGUCGAGUUCCAGCCUUUUGUUCCCGCCAUCACGAGGGUGGGAAUACCAAAGCAUCUGCAAACGAUGACUUUGGACGCCUUUUUAGGCGACUCGGACCCCAUGGAACAUUUGCGUUACUUUAACACAAAAAUGGUUAUUGGAGGAGCAACAGAUGAGGUGAAGUGUAGAUUGUUACCAUCAACUUUCAAGGGCAUGGCGAUGCAAUGGUUCAUCCAACAGCCGCCCUUCUCCAUUGACAAUUUUACUGAUUUGUCCACGAAAUUCUUAACUCAAUUCUCCGCCAAUAAAACUACAAAGGCAACCAUGUUUGACCUUAUCAGCAUACAUCAACAGCCAGGGGAGAAGCUCAAGAACUACAUGGCGCGAUUCAGUAAAAUGGCGGUUCAACUGGAGGAAGACAAUCCGGAUGUUUGCCUGGCGUCUUUCAAAAAUGGCCUCAGGGCGGGGGAUUUGAACCGAGAUUUGACUAGACGACCGGCGAAGGACAUGAUGGAUCUUCGGGCCCGUGUUCAGGAAUUCAUUUUGAUUGAGCAAGAUGAUCAAAAGAAGCAAGAAAGGGAGGAGGGGAGAAAACACGUCCAGGCUGGCGUGGUUUCACAGGACAAGAACAAGACUGGAAAGGAUACACGGGUAGCUCAAACUCUACCUAUUCCAAGACCCGGCCCUUAUCAAAAUUCCAAGCCCGGGUUCCAGAAUACGUGGCAUAGAAAUCCCCAUGGUACCGCUGCAGCCUCGGCGGGCCAACAAGGACCCGCGCCAACUCCUGUCCCACUUACUAAAUUGAAUGCCCCUCUAAGCACUAUCUUAAAGGCAGUUGUACAGACAAAUGCGGUGCAAUAUCUACCGCCUCCUAGGCGACCACCAACCAAUGUGGAUACAAACCGAUGGUGUGAGUAUCACAAAACGUUGGGACACACCACGGAUAAUUGUUGGAACUUGAGACGGGAAAUUGAUAGGUUGAUCAAGGCUGGCCAUCUGGCGAAUUUUGUUAAAGAAGCAGCAACAUCAGAGGCCACUAAGGUCACUCAGGGGGACAGGGGCAAAGGAAAAGAGAUAGUGGAAGAAUUGGGCGACCCUGUUGGAGAAUGUUCAUCCAUUGCAGGAGGCGCGAUUUCAAGCAAGGCUAGAAAGCGGUAUGUGGCGGCUGUUCAUUCGGUGCAUGAGGUGUAUGAGGGCGAGUGCUGGUUGAAUCACUCUCCCAUCAUUUUCACCCCGCAAGAUUUUGCACAUGUUAUUCCUCAUGAAAACGAUCCGAUUAUGGUGACAAUCCGGGUCAACAACUACAUGACAAAAAAAGUGUUUUUGGACCAGGGAUCUUCGGCGGACAUCAUUUAUGGGGACGCCUUUGAUCGCCUGGGGUUGAAGGAGUCGGACUUGAAACCUUAUACUGGAACCCUGGUGGGGUUUACAGGGGAUCGUGUCAAUGUGCGAGGAUAUGUUGAAAUAUCAACGGCUUUUGGUGAGGGAGAUUUUGUCAAAAAAUUUCAGGUGAAGUAUUUGGUAUUGGCAUGUAGGACCAAUUACAAUGUACUCUUGGGGCGGGACACCCUCAACAAGUUAUGUGCCGUAAUUUCAACCACGCAUUUAACUGUUAAGUACCCGGCCUGUAACGGGAAGGUUGGCGUCCUUCGAGUGGAUCAAAGUGCAGCAAGGGAGUGUUACCUUCGCAGUGUGGCUCUCUAUGGGAGAAAGGCCGCCAAGGAAAGCCACCGUAUCACGGAGAUUUUUCCACAUGAAGGGUUUAGUUUGGAUCCAAGAGAUGACGCUGAUGAUUUCCGCCCACAACCUUUGGAGGAAACAAAAUCAGCACAAAUCAAGGAUAAAGUUCUGAAAAUCGGUAGCGGUUUAACAAAGGAACAAGAAAAAAGAUUGAUCACCUUGUUGAGCGAGAAUUUGGAUCUUUUUGCAUGGACAAUCAAUGACGUGCCAGGAAUCGAUCCCAACGUAAUCACUCAUAAGUUGGCGAUACGGGUAGGAGCAAAACCAGUCAUCCAACCAAGGCGACGGAUGAGCGACGGAUGAGCGACGAAAAGAACAAGGCGGUUCAAGUAGAAACCGAGAAGUUGAUCAAGGCACAAUUUAUUCGUGAGGUGCAGUACCCGACCUGGCUCGCCAACGUUGUGAUGGUCAAGAAAGCUAAUGGAAAGUGGAGAAUGUGCACGAACUACACAAGCUUGAACAAAGUGUGUCCCAAAGAUUCAUAUCCUCUUCCCAAUGUUGAUAAGUUGGUAGACGGGGCUUCAGGCAACGAACUUUUAAGUCUCAUGGAUGCAUAUUCUGGCUACAAUCAAAUCAUGAUGCAUCCUUCGGAUGAGGAAAGUACGGCGUUCAUGACUAACCAGGCGAAUUAUUGUUACAAAACCAUUCCUUUUGGUUUGAAAAAUGCUGGAGCCACCUAUCAGCGCCUCAUGGAUAAAAUCUUUUCAAAACAAGUUGGAAGAAAUAUGGAAGUGUAUGUCGAUGACAUGAUUGUUAAGUCGUCCAAGUCGGAGGAUCAUGGCGACGAUCUUAAGGAAGCCUUUGCCCAGCUAAGGAAAUAUCAAAUGAAGCUAAAUCCUGAGAAAUGCUCGUUUGGGAUUCAAGGGGGAAAAUUUUUGGGCUUCAUGAUAACAUCAAUGGGGAUUGAAAUAAACCCGGAUAAAGGCAAGGCGAUCUUAGAAAUGAAAAUCCCAACAAGUGUAAAGGAGGUUCAACGUUUAACAGGACGAAUGGCCGCCUUAUCACGCUUUCUGCCAGUGGCGGGUGAUAAAGCGGCCCCAUUCUUCACCUGUUUAAAAAAGAAUUCAAAGUUUCAGUGGACAGAGGAAUGCGAACAAGCUUUUACCAAGUUGAAAGAAACAUUAGCAACGCUACCAGUACUCUCCAAGCCAACGCCAGGCGUCCCCUUAAUACUCUAUUUAGCAGUCACUGACAAGGCGGUGAGUACGGUUUUGCUCCAAUUAGAAGGAAAUAAGCAGAAGGUUAUAUAUUUUGUGAGCCAUACUUUGCAGGGGGCGGAAUUGCGGUACCAAAAAAUUGAAAAGGCGGCUUUGGCAAUUCUGAAAAUAGCAAGGCGCCUCAGGCCUUAUUUCCAAAGUUUCCAAGUCAAAGUUAAAACUGAUGUUCCCUUAAGGCAGGUACUCCAGAAGCCUGACUUAUCAGGGCGAUUGGUCAGCUGGUCAGUUGAGUUAUCAGAGUAUGAUAUACAAUAUGAGCCGAGGGGCCAAGUUACAAUUCAAAGUUUGAUCGACUUCGUGGCGGAGUUAACACCCACGGAAGGCGAGAAGACUCAAGGAGAAUGGGUCUUAUCUGUGGAUGGAUCCUCCAAUAACACUGGAAGUGGAGCUGGGAUAACCAUUGAAAGUCCAGAUAAAAUGAUCAUCAAACAAUCACUAAAAUUCGAGUUCAAGGUGAGCAACAAUCAAUCCGAAUAUGAGGCUUUGAUCGCCGGCUUAAGGCUAGCCAUUGAGUUAGGUGUCCAGAAGUUAUUCGUCAAGGGAGAUUCGCAGUUGGUGGUUAAACAGGUGAAAGGCGAGUAUCAGGUGAAGGAUCCGCAACUUUCUAAAUACUUGGAAGUGGUGCGCAGAUUAAUGAUGGAAAUCAAAGAGAUUAGAGUGAAACAUGUCCCGAGGGGUCAGAAUGAGAGGGCUGAUGUAUUAGCAAAAUUGGCAAGCACAGGGCGAUUGGGCAAUUAUCAAACAGUCAUUCAAGAAACCCUGCCUCGCCCAAGUAUUGAUUUGGUAGAAAUAAAGUUAAAAGCAGUAAAGUCAGUGAUUGAAGGCGAGCCUUCCUGGAUGGAGUCAAUCAAGAUCUUCCUAGAGAGCCCUCCAAAGGAUGAUGAUCUAAACACGAGAGCAAAACGCAGGGAGGCUAGUUUUUACACACUGGUGGAUGGUGAGUUGUAUCGGCGGGGUAUUAUGUCUCAUAUGCUCAAAUGUGUUGAUACUAAGGAUGCCCCGGGAAUAAUGGCGGAAGUCCACGAAGGAGUGUGCUCCAGUCAUAUCGGUGGGCGAUCCUUGGUAGUAAAGGUUUUAAGAGCAGGAUUCUACUGGUCCACGAUGAAGAAGGACUGUCUGGAAUAUGUUAAGAAAUGUGAAAAAUGUCAAGUCUUUUCUGACUUACAUAAGGCUCCGCCGGAAGAAUUAACAACCAUGAUGGCGCCUUGGCCAUUCGCUAUGUGGGGAACUGACAUUUUAGGACCAUUCCCAGUAGCAAAGGCACAAAUGAAGUAUAUCAUCGUGGCGGUUGAUUACUUCACCAAAUGAAUAGAAGCUGAAGCGGUGGCGACUAUCACAGCCGCCAAGGUAAGAGAUUUUCUGUGGCGAAGGAUUGUGUGCAGAUUUGGGGUUCCCAUGGCGUUGGUAAUGGACAAUGGAACCCAAUUUACAAGUAAUGUUACCCGGGAAUUUUGUACGAAAAUGGGAAUUGAAAUGCGAUUUGCCUCGGUAGAACAUCCACAAACUAAUGGACAGGCUGAAUCAGCCAACAAAGUUAUUUUGAAAGGCUUAAAGAAGAAGCUGGAUGAAGCGAAAGGACUUUGGGCGGAGGAAUUACCCGGCGUCCUGUGGGCAUAUAACACCACUGAGCAGUCAAGCACGAGGGAAACCCCGUAUUGUUUAACUUAUGGAACUGAUGCCAUGCUCCCUGUGGAAAUUGAAAAUCAAAGUUGGCGAGUGGCUCGGUUUAAUGAGAAUGACAACGGGGAAAAUCUGAUAGCAAAUCUAAUUAUGUUGCCUGCGGAACAACGGGAGGCACACAUAAGGAAUGAGGCGGCAAAAGUGAAGGUUGCAAGAAAAUUCUCAACAAAAGUAGUGCCAAGAACGAUGAAGGUAGGAGACUUAGUGCUCCGAAAAAACACCAUACCUGACAAACACAACAAACUCUCGCCCAAUUGGGGCGGGCCAUACAGGGUUAUAGGCGACGUGGGAGGAGGAGCUUAUAAAUUGGAACAACUUAACGGUCAAAAGGUUCCACGAACAUGGAACGCCUCACAUCUGAAGCAGUAUUUUAGUUAAAAGAAACAACAAAGGUGAAUGAAGCCGCACUCUUUUUCCCUUUCUUUGGAAAGGUUUUUAAUGAGGCGGCAUAUGUAAAGAAUGAAGGGACAAUUGUUCCCAUAUAUGAAAAAGUAAUGAAAAGAUCAUUUCAACAUAAUUGCUUAUUUUUUGAUUUAUAUUACGAGUUUAUGCAGUGCAAAUCGUAUCAAGGUAUACAAAUACCGCGAUUAAAUCUUUCGGAAUAAGAAAGUGUCGCCAUCAAACGUUAAAAGCCUUGGCAAUUCUAGUGGCCACUAGAAAUCAAGCCUCGUCGAAAAAUCGGCUAAGGUAUAUAGACCUAAAUAACAACAAAAUCUGAUAAACAUCAAGGUAACAACUUCAAGGAAACAACAAAAGAACUUAAACGAACUUCGUUAAAGGUAAGGAAGGGGCGAAGCCCAUACAUGAAUUAAAAUGACAAAUAAACAAAGGGGCAAUGCCCAAAGCAAAAUUCUGACUUAAUAAAAUAAAAACAGAAUGAAUUCAAGUCAGGUUCUCAUUGUUGGCGUUGUUGUCCUGGCUUGCAACAGCUUGAGGGUCUUCCUUCCCUUGAUCUUCAUUCUUGUUUUGAUCAUUCCUAUCUUCGCCAUUCCCUUCCUCAGGCUCACUCUCAGAAUCAAACUGAGGAAGAAGGUCGAGGCCAAUGUCAUCAUCGCCAACCACUUGACCAUCUUUGAUCUCCUUCAGAUACCCGAUGCGGGAAAGAUCGAAGCCCGGUUCAACCACACUUAUUUGCUCUUUGGCCGCCAGAAAGCCUUGAGCGAAUUGGAGGGAGGCGCGCCCUAGAAUGGAAGCAUUCAGGCGUUCAUAUUUCUUCUCCAGCUUUUGGCACUUGGCUUGAACAGCAGUAUGUUUGUCAUUGAUGGCUUCUUUCAGAGACUUGGUCUUCUAAAGGAGCAGGUUAGAAGCCGCCAAGUCAUCAGUUAACUUGGCGCAUUUCUCCUCAGAAGACUUCAGAUUUUUGUUGGCGGUCUCAGCGUCGACCUUCGCUCGCUCAUAUGCAGCCUUAUAAUCAGCCGCCUUCUUCUCAAAACGGUUCUUAGCCGAUAUCAAUUCUUUCACACACUGAGCCAUUCCCGCCACAGUGCUGGCGGCAGAAAGUGCAUGAAAGAUGGCCUGGGAAGCAAUGUUGGGGGGGCCUUGACCGGAAAUAUCUUUGUGAAUCCGGUUGUCAAAAGUACGGGUCAUGAAGUCCAACCCGUUGAAGUGGGGAUCAUAUAAACUCAGCAAAGGGGGAGGAGCCUCGCCACCAAUGGCUGAGCUAGUGCCAGCAUGGCCAAAUGGAGUUGGCGGUCGGUUGAUCAUCAUGCUCGAAUCCUGGUUGGGUGGCGGGAUAUUGUCAUGUCCCUUCUUUUUCUCCGCAGGCUGACUUUUGGAAGCCAAACCAUUUGGAUCGAGAGUUGACUGGUGAAGAGGUUUACCACCAGCAGCGCCUGAAGUUCUUUGGCGCUUAGGGUCCCUGACGUUAUCAGAGCCCGAGGCACCUUCAUUCUUUUUCUUCUGCUCAGCCUCGGCGGCCCUUUUCUUCGCCGCCGCAGUAGACUGGGCGAGGUAUUCCUUCAUCUUCAAUGGGUUAGCGUCGAUCUUGCUUUUUCCCAUCGUAGCUACAUGGAAAGUAUUGGUUAGACAAGACACAUGAACAAAAAGAAAAACAAGUUAUGUGCAAAGAUUAUAAACUUACUAAAAAAUUGAUUUAAAGUGCCGGAUUUCGACGCCUCAAUCAAGUCAUGGCCAGAGAUUACUGGUAGUGUGCGAAGAUAAUCGGCGAUACCUUGCUCAGAAUCAUCCAAGGCGUCAUACGAAACGGAUAUUUUUCGGAGAGGGUUUUUUGUCCAGUAAAAGGGGAAGAGAGGAUUAUUAUCGGAAUCUCGAAAUAAGUUAUUUAUUUCAGGCGAUUCCAUAACUUUGGAGUAUUUUUUCUGCCACACUUUGUAAUGGCUUUUAAGGGCGGUGAAUCGGCUCAUGUUCUUGCGGGCUAAAAGGGGAACCCACUUGACAGAUGUAGGUUUUGUGGUGACUGUCUUAUAGAAAAGGAAAAACAAGGGAUAGGUGGGAGUGAAACUCAAAUGUUCACAGAGAAUUUCAAAGCAGCGGAUAAAACCCCAGGCGUUGGGUUGCAGUUGACAAGGCGCCACGUUCAGAAAGGAAAGAACGUGACAUAUAAAGGGCGAGAAUGGAAGUUUGAUAUUCAAGUCCAAGAAAAAAUAACCAUAAACAAAAAAGAAAUCGGGCGAUUCAUCGGAUGAUUCUUUGCGUAAAAGAACACAAUCAUCCUCGCCACAUGGGAGAACAUUCAACAGAUGAUCUACGUUAUUAGAGGUGGCAGGAUUUAUCUUUGUAAACCCUUGGGAAGAUAUUCGAAGUGAGCUGAUGCUCCCAAUACUUCCCGAGAUGGAACGCCAAAGACAUUUAUCUUCAACCAAAUGUGCGUUUGAACGCCAUUCGGCUGAAGACAAAUCUCCAUUAGAAGAGAGAAUAGAAUUUACAGAGCCGGCGGGACCGGAAUCCUCGUGAGUAGAAGGCGAGGAAUGAAUUUCAAUAACAGUGGGGGCAGAAACUUCCCUAGUGGGGGCAGAAACUUCCCCCUCCGUAGAGGGUGAAGAGAGUUCUAAGGAAGAAAUACUGAUAUUUUGCAUCGACAUACUGGGUAAUUUCAUAAAAAUAAAUAGAAGAUGAACAGAUUCAAAAAGAAAAGAGAAGAAGACGAACAGUGUCAAGAAAGAAGAAAGAGAAAGGACUCACCGGAGGAAGAAGUGGAGGAUUGAGUAAAGAGGAUGUCGGCUAUGGGAGAGCACCGCGCAAUGACGACGGCCGGGGUGACGGAGAUUCACCGGAGUUCGAAAAGGAGAAGGCAAAAAUUUCAGAGAAAGUUUCAGAGAUAAAGUUGCAGGAAAGUAAAAAGUGAAAAGUGAAAUGUGAAAAGGGGUUUUUAUAGAGGAAGAAAGAGGAGAGAGUAUGAGUGGGAAAGAUCGUGAAGAGUCGUGGGAUUUGAAAUUUGAAAAGGUAUGGAGUGAAAAGACGUAAUUCCUCGAGACGCACACCCGGAAACUGCAUUCAUGGCCAAUGAUGAUAAAAAUCCCGGAAAACAAGGGUCACGUAAGUAAGUUGGAAAGACGUGAUGGACGGUUGUGACAAAGGGCGAUGCAUCAACGAAAUAAAGAUGGCGUGGUAAUGAGUAACAUAACGGUGGCGUUAUAUCACGGAAAUGGCGACAUAUCACAACCGUGAGGAACGGCGACACAAUUAUUAGAAGCACAAAGUAAAUGAUAAAAGCAGGCGAUGAAGUAGCAUAUAAAGACAUUUCGACUCAACUUACUUGAGCCUCAUGUCUUGGGGGCAUGUGGACUGGGCGGGACAUAAGGAUCCCUUAUUCCCGCCCAAAUCGAGCAUUUAGAUGAACGAAAGCAGCCAUGGCGGGGUUUGCGGAACAACAUCGAAUCCCGCCCUUCCUUUGGACAGGCCCACACGCCAGCUGGAAGAUUCCUUUAGAUUUGUCUUAUAUGUAUAGAGGCUUGGGCCCCGGUUGUCAGGCCCAAGUACAGUAAAAGUCCACAUCAUGACCACUCCCUCUAUAAAAGGAGAGGUCAACACCUUGUAAAAAGUACCUUUUGAACAUUUAAUGAGAAUAUUCCUUUUAUGAUAUUUUUAGUAUUCUGCCAGGGUUUACUUUCUGUCAGUCUCUUACGUCAGAUCUCCCUAGUACAGAACAAUUAGGAUUUCCAUACAUAUUGUUUUCCGGUAGAAGACCGAUUAGUUAUAAUAAGGCUCAUUAGAUAUAACUAUUUAGUUUAUUAAAUUUUGCAUUGUUUAUUAUGUUAUUUCCUUUAAUUUCAUUUUAGAAAGGUCUCUUGUGAGUACGCUAGUAUUAGUAUAAAUAUUGUAUUCCCUUUCAUUAUGAAAUUAAGAAGAAAAUUGAUCAAAGUCUUUCUUUUCUAUCUCUUUCUUAGUUUAAAUUUUAGGAUUCUUAGUGUUGUUCUUGAAAUUACCUUCCUAUCAUUUUCUUACCCAAUUACAAGAUGACACGUGGGUUAAAAAUUCAGAAAAGUUAUCACUUUAAAAUUUAACAAAAUAUUAAGAAAGUAGGUGUCAGGAACUUUUUUAUUGAGUAACAACCAAUUUUUUUAGGUAAAUACAAGUUUUCUCCUAAACAUAAUUUAACUCAUUCUUACGACUCCUAUAACAAAAAUAAUGUUUCUUAAUUUUGUAGAAUGAUUGGACACGUCAAUUUUCUGUUUUUUAUUUUAGAAACUGUUUUUGAAAACAGUUUUUUAAGAAAACCUUUUUUGAAUGAGAUGUUAUCUAAUAUCUAAAAGAAAUAAUUUAUAAACUAGAAAUAAAAACAGAAAACAUCGUUUAAUUGUUCUGAUAUUUUAAUUUUUAAAACCGAAAAUGAGAAUUGUUUUGAAAAACUAUUUUUAAAAAUAGGUUGUGGUUAGUUUUUUUUUUUAAUUUUUCAGCUUUUAAUAAAAUAGAUUCAAGUUUUAGUUUUUUAAUUUCUUCUGUUCAAGAAAAAAAAAGGUUUAGUUUUUCUUAAUUUAGGAAUUUUUAAUUUUUAAAAAUGAAAAUGAGAAUAGGUUUUUAAAAACUAUUUUUGAAAAUAGGUUGUGAUUAGUUUUUAUUUUUUAUUUUUCAGCUUUUAAUAAAAUAGAUUCAAGUUUUAGUUUUUCUUCUGUUAAAAAAAAGGGUUUAGUUUUUCUUAAUUUAAGAAUAACUUUCAGAAAAUAUUAUAAAAACGAUUUUUCAAAAGAAAAAAACUGGAUGAAUAACAGCGUUAGGCUCCUUUGUUUUAUACAUUAAAGAAACUAUAAUUUGAAAAUCAACUUUUCCGAUGUAUUAAAAAAAAAUAAAAAAUCAAAAAUAGAAUCCAGAAACAUCUCUAAUAUAUUUAGAGAUUUUAACAUAGAAUCCAGAAACAGAUUAUAACAAAUAAGUUUCAAAAACAUAAAACUAUCCGAAUUCUCUCCUUGGUAGAGUUUUUAAGGCUUUAUAUUUUCCAGCAGGUAGCAUGAAUGGAGCCAAGAAAGGUUACCGUCCGAGUUAUGCGUGGACUAGUAUCCUAAAAACAUCGGAGUUGGCUAUGAAAGGAAGCAUGUGGCGUAUUGGUAAUAGAUUGAAUGUUCGUAUUUGGGAUGACAAUUGACUCUCGCAUGGCCCUCCAAUUAAUUGCAGGCAAGAUGUGGUGGAGGAACUUAGUUUGAAAUUUGUAGUUGAUCUUAUCCAGCCAGGUGGUGGCUCUUGGAAUAAGGAAUUGGUGGAAUGGACUUUCUGUCCAAAUACUGCAUUGCGAAUCUUGGCUGUCCCCUUACCGGUGCAUGCAACGGAAGAUUUACUUUUUUGGGGUGGAACUCCAGAUGGGUGCUAUACAGUGAGCUCUGGCUAUGCUUUUUUACAAAACGUAGCUAGCCAAGCUUCUCCUUCAUCAUCCACCUCGGCUGAACCUGGUUUUGAUGCGACUCUUUGGCGUAAAUUAUGGAAAGCUCCAUCCCUUCCUCGGGUUAAGGAGGUGGCAUGGCGUGUGUGUGUUGGAGCGGUGCCCACUAGGCUUUGUUUGCGUCGUAGAGGAAUGGACUUGGAUCCUAGUUGCCCGGUGUGUGUCCAUGAGGAGGAGAGCAUUGAUCAUCUUUUUAUCCAUUGUCCUGUUGCGCGAGGUUGCUAGUUUGUGAGCCUGGGUGUGCGCACAAAUGCUCGUACAUCGACCUUCAUGGACUUCAUGGCUGCGGUGCUGCGUGACAAGGAUGGCUGGUGCAUUGCAGAAGUUCAGCGCAUGAUCUAUUGCUUGUGGGAGGGUCGGAACAAGGUUCUUUUCGAGCUCCGUGAACCUGGUUGUGCUACGGUGCUGUCUCGUUUUGCAGCGAUGGAGUCCCCUUCACAGCUAGCGACGCAUGGGAGUCAGAGGGAGCGGUCGGUGGUGGCAAAAUGGUUGAGACCAGCAGCUGGGAUGAUCAAAAUUAAUGUGGAUGCCUCUCUUGGUGGUGAUUUUCUUGCUGGUUUCGGUAUGGUGGCUAGGGACGAGGAUGGCGAGAUCUUGGCGGCGGCUUCACACUACCCGACGGCUGCUACUUCAGCCACGAUGGCAGAGGCGUUUUGUCUCCGUUGGGCCAUGGAGCUUUCUUCACAGUUAGGAUUCAGGGGGGUGCAGUUUGAGACUGAUUGUCUUCAGCUUUUCCAUGCUUGGAAGAAGGGUGUUGGUCAUUCUCCUUUAUUUUCUUUGCUUCGGGAUUGUAAGGCUUUUGUUCGUUUGUUUGAUUGUGUUGAGUUUACUUUUACUCGUAGACAGGGCAAUACUUGUGCUGAUUUUAUGGCUCGGAACGCCUCUACCCUUUCAAAUACUGUUUGGGUGGAGGAGGGUCCCCCGGGUUUAUGUAGCCUUUUACAGGCGGAUCUUUUGGCUUCUAUGCCGGUUAUGAUUUAAUAUAUGUUAUGCCACGUUCAAAAAAAAAAUACCGCAAACAAAUAAGACAUUUUAUUGAUUAUUGACAAUAGAUAUAAUUUUCGUUUUCACUUGGAGUUUGCCCAAUAUGGUUGGCCCAAUAUGUUAUCUUAUCGCCCCAAUAUGUUAAAACCUGCACCUAAAUUUGACAAAAACCUGAAGUUAUGAUUAUGUUUUUUUUUUUUUUUUUUUUUUGAAAGAGAAGUUAUGAUUAUGUUACUAUGCAAAAUAAAUAUUUUUUUUAAGACUCACUUUUAAAUAUCAUUUUCAAAAGUUGAUCAACUUGCUGAUAUCAAGUCCACCAAGUCUAAUUCAAACUAAAAAUGGAAUUGAUGAUAGCAAUUUACCCAAACUGAAAACGGAAUCCUAUGAUGCACGGGUACCCCAGUUUGGCCAACGUACCCGUACCCGGUACUUGUACUCUUGGGUACUUCAUGGGUACUUAAAAAUGCUUACACAAUCUAUACCAAAAUUUGAUUGGGUAGUUUUUUGGUAUCAUUUGGGUACUUUUUUGUAUCUCUACUUCUAUUACACAUAAAAGCCUAUAUACUCUACUAAUAUCUUCAAUUUGCAUCAAUCUAUUAGUCAAUUUAAGUUACUCAAUUUUGAGUUUUCUUUCUUGCAUCAUGUAAAAAUCUCAAUUUCUUCCAUUUGCUUUGUUAUUUUUUAAAACAAUGUGAAUUUUAAGAUUUUAUUGUACAAAUUUUCUCCUAAUAUGUUGAAAAUAUAAUCAUUAAAUAUAUAUAUAUACUAACGUACCCGUACCCAUGAUUUUUUGAAAAAUGCCGCACCCGUACCCGUAUCUGGUACCGUACCCGUACUCGUGCAUCCUAGACGGAAUCCAUAACUUGAAACUAGCAAUUUUAUUGCCAUAACAGCAAUUUUAUUCCAUGUCUAUUCCUAUAGAACACAACAUUGUUUGAUAUAUUUAAAGCAAAAUGACAACGAAACUAAAGACGGUAAAAGAUGAUGCAAGGGUUCAAAGGGCUUUGAUGAUCUCCUCAGCACUGGAGACGGUGAACUCUCCUCCAUCUUCAACAUUUGCAACCUUCACCUUCAGGUCUUCCACCAGCAGAGCAAACCUCCUUGAGCGAGUGCCAAGACCUUUGUCAUUGAGGUCAAGCUCCAGCCCGAGAUCAUGGGUGUAUUUGGCAGAACCAUCAGCAAGGAACUUCACAUGCUUGUUCUCUGGGAAUGUUUUGGCCCAUGAACUCAUCACAAAAGG